UGUUGGGUAGGAGCGGGUCGAGUCCGUAUCACCGCGGAACAACUGCAGCGUCCGGAUCUGAUCUAUCUACUCGGCAAUUCAUCCGGUGACUUCACGGUCGCCAAAGAAGCCCCAAGAAGCAUCAAACAUUUCCGAUGAGAUCCAUGGUGCUAUUCUGAGAUAGCAGGCACUAGCUCCCAGUGCGACUUCAUAAAAAGCAAUCAAAGAUAAGAUCGAAGAAAAUGAAACGCACGUGGUGGUCAUUAUAGCGGUUCCUUCAGAUCCUAGAAAACGUCCAAAAAAACUGGCUACGGAACUACCGAGCAAAGGCAAAAAGACAAUAAGUAGAUACAUAAGAUCGAGUCUCUUCAAAAAAAAAUCAGACAAUGUUCGAGCGGCCUGUCAUUGAGACAAAAACGUGUUAAGCAUAUAAGACCUGAGACUUUCCUCUCUCUCCGAUUGCCGCUUUAUCGCAGAACAUCUAUUUGCUUUCUAUUCGACAAGAAGGACAAGGAAAAGAUAAUGGAUAUGGAACACAGGUCCUGGCACUAUUGGAAAAUGAAGCUCUCUCAGUUCAAACAUAUGAGAUUACUUACCCCGGGAACAAUUUCAGUACAUAUGGCGCAAGACGAUUCCACAUAUAUAUCGAGGUCAGAAUGGGAUCGGGUGUUUUCACGUCUCACCGUAGUGCAGCUUUAUACCACUGAUUUGACCAUUUUGCUGUGCUAGGCUGACCAUUUGGGGAAGAUACUCCAUUAAAAUUCUGAACAAGUAAGGGAACAGCUCUGGAUCCCAAGACAAGACUUCCUCUCAUAUUUAUAUUGAAAAAUAUGAAAACUAAUUAUCUUUAUUCUAGUUCCCUAAAACCCUUUCCGUGGCAUUCCUUUCUGUUCCACUCAUCCAACAUUGUUGGAUGCCAAAGACUUUGACGAAGACCAUUCUUUACCAAAGGAUGCGUCGAAGCGUGACAAAGAAAUGGCUGUCAAAGAGAAGGCCAAAAAUGCCAAUCUUCAAGCCAGAGGCGAGGGACAACAACCUUUGCCCGGCGGGGCGGCGGCUUCCUCAGAAAAAGAGAAAACUCUCUCACUCUCCUCUUUGACUGAACACUUGAGAUAGAUAUUGAUCAUAGAUAGGUACUCACAUUCACGGAAGUAAUGGUAAGGAAUCCCAGUAGUAUCUUCUCCCGGUGUAUGUGAAAGAGAAAAAGUGACGGGGCUCAUACUUCAGCGCUGCAGUGCUUGGUACUCGGACCUCGGCUCGAUGCAUUUUCUCUACCCCUUCUUACCCUGAAAAAGCAGGGUCACCUUGUGUCGUUUUUAUGAGAAGCGAGUUGUUCUAGGCUGGGCGGAUCCUGAUCUCUAAUACCGGUACUACGUCCUUGCCAAGAAUUACCAUAGGCCGGUCUUUCUUUGAAAUAGUCCUCUCACGCAUAUUCCUUUACUACCAAAGUAAUGCAUAUCCGGGGACCUUUUCAACAUACUUCUUUUCCUCUAUCAAAAAGCCAAUACCGACGCUCGCUUAUCAGCUUACCAGUUCAAACGGGUUUUAAAGUAGGUUCUACACAUUCGAGAAGACCCAGGCGGAUUGGAGUGGUUGUGCGCCGGGGCAAUCUCUGCUUGCAUUUCGCAUUGGAAUUUCAAGUACUAAGACAGGGGAGAGAUCUUUAUAAGGAAGGCUUGCAUCUGAAAAUAGUAGUAGUAGUCUAAGGAGUGAUUUGUACUGGAAAAACCUGCCAAUGGGAGCAUAGCUGGUCUUUAUUGUCCGCUCACUUCCUUCAAUCAAAGCAAGGGUUGUCUUUCCAGGAACUAGCAAACCAAACAAGCAGGCUAGCAAAACUAGGAUAAAGUUUGAUCCACCACUUACACUGGAAGGGCAAGAACUAAUGCUUAUGCGUAUUCUUCCACGGCAUAUAGAUGGUUAACUACUCCAACUCGAUGGCUGAGAGAAAAGUGAAAUCCUAGCUUGGAUAAGAAUCAUACGCUGCGAAUGAGCAGACGAAUCGACCGAGGGCUUACACACAAGAACAGAACCUAACUCUACUUCUUUUUCCUCCUUUCCUCUUUACUGCCCCCGCUAUACUAUCAACAGGUCAGUCAAUAUCGCAUCACAUCACCUAAAAGACUGAUAUCCAGCUCCAUAUAAUCCAACAAUUGGGCUCUAUUCUCCUGAAGAGAAGACACUUGAACUUCGUCAUGUGCUAUUGAGCCUUUUGAACCUAAGUGCGGACAUAAAGUCUUAGCCAAUGUUUCUAUACUAUUAGGGAGUAGAGUGUAUGAAUCUCGAUUUGACAUGACAGAGAGAGACUGUCAUCGCCAUCUCUUUGGACAUGCAUGUGUUAAGCAAAUGGACUGAACUGGUUUCUUCAGCCCUUUUUCUAUGUGUUGGUGUUCUAUAUGACCGACAUAAGACUCAACUUGUUAGAUAUUAUGGAGGUUUAGUGAGCACCAUGCCGAAUUUCUCUACCAUUUUCUUCUUUUUCACUUUAGCCAAUAUGAGUUUACCCGGCACUAGCAGCUUUAUUGGGGAAUUUCUAAUCUUAGUAGGAGCUUUCCAAAGAAAUAGCUUAGUAGCCACAUUAGCAGCGCUUGGGAUGAUUUUAGGCGCGGCGUAUUCCCUUUGGCUAUAUAAUCGUGUGGUUUCUGGAAAUUUAAAACCUGAUUUCCUCUAUAAAUUCUCCGAUCUAAAUGGCAGAGAAGUUUCCAUAUUUCUACCUCCAACAGACCGACAAGGAAUGAAGUCAACCUUAGAAAGUAGCCGAUGGGAGGUUUGAUCGGUUAAUGUGGAAAGACAACCCUUGCUUUGAUUGAAGGAAGUGAGCGGACAAUAAAGACCAGCUAUGCUCCCAUUGGCAGAAAUAAGGAUUGAUCGGGUAGUCCCGAUCGGUCCCGAUCAGUUAAUCCCGGAAGUCAUCUGCCACAAUGUCGGGAGCAUACCUCAUCAAGUUGUCGCAUUUCAUAUUGUAGUCCUGAACAGUACCACUCCCUUGUUUUAGGCUAACGAAUUGCUGUCGAAGCGCUUCCCGAGACAUCACAUCUAAAUACUGAUCAUUGAAUUCUCGCUCGAACCACGCCCAAGGAAUGGUUGGAUUUGAACCAUCAUUAUCUCCAUUAUGUCUCUUCUUUGCCUCCUGCCACCAAAAAGGAGAAAGUUUUCUCCCUUUUCACAUAACCGAGAAAAAAGGAAAAGUUACCCUACUACAUGUAUUAGCUAGUUUUGUCUAGUCAACAUCUAACGCUCAUUUCACUAUGGGAUUUAUUUACUCCGAUUGCUUCUACUCUCUUACAGCUGGGUGCGCCUAUAAGGAAGACUUUUCAUAGAUUGACUUUGGGCAGGCAAGUUGAACUAUCCGGCUUCCCUUAAAGUAUUCACUUUUCCAGGAGCCGACUUACCAGUUAGUACUGGCACUUUUACAGGAACAGUACCAGAGACUCAUCUCGUAAGAAGACAUUUUCAAUUAGACACUACUAGUCGAGGACUGCGAACUCAACUAGAUAUUCUGCACAUUCCAGUUUACCUUUUUAAAUCUUUUUUUAACUCCCCGAGCUACUACUCUGUAGAUUAACUAGUGUCUCCGAUUGCUUGGAUGAACAGAGCUCUCUUCUCUCCCAAUAUGUUUAUUUGACGGAGUCUAGUGCGUAUUCAUUUUCUUCAAGUCUUGGAUUCAAAAGGUUUUUUCCGGUGUAGGAUUCUUCCUACCCAACUUUGGCCAUUGAAGAAUGAGUCUUUGCUUUGUCCCCCGGGAUCCACCACAGGUUGGGUUUGAGAGCCGUGUGAUGGGUGACUAUCUAGCACGGUUCAGAGAGCACGUGUAUGUAGUCUGCGCUGGUGAAUACCACACGUGCAAGUUUCCCUGCAUGUGGCUCGUCCGUGAUAACUUCUUCGGAUUUGCCUGAACUAGCGGACCGAUCACUAAGUGGUUGCUUUCGCUGAUCGGCGCUAGUCUUUCCUGCUGUGAAUUUCCCAGGUCGAGAGGGGCCCUUUCCUUCUACCUUACUGAACCCAUUCACCAAUGAUUGGAGCCCUUUCACUAGUGGUUACUCCCGAUCCGAAGCACCCCUUUUCCAUUCAUAGAGAAAUCCAAUCGUCAAAAUCAAUAAAAAGGCCAUCAUGGACCAAGAUCCAAACAGAUCAAUCUUGUUAGGAGGUACUGCCCAAGGAAAAAAAAGGUGACUUCCUGAUCAGGGAUAAUAAAUAAAAUAGGAACCGGAUAAAAUCGUAUAUCGAAACGACUUCUGGCAUCACCGGAGGGAUUGAAACCACGUUCGUAGGCCGACAAUUUUUCUGGAUAGGUCGAACUAUUGGAAGCAAAUGGAAAAGGAACACCGAGUGGAAUCAAAGAAACUAGCGGACUGAUCACUAAAUAGAUACAAAUAGGUGCAAAUUCCGACAAAAAUGCACUUUCAUAGCCAUUUAUCGUGAUAGCGUAACUGCCAAAUCAUCCAAGUAAGGAAAUCGAUAAGCACGAAGAUUUCUCUCAAAGACGAGAAUAUCAUUCAGUCUUGAGAAAUGCAUGUGAAUGAGGAGCCGGUAUAAAUCGUAGGAACUCUUUGGAAGAACGAAUAACCACUGGGAUAAAAUGCCCCAAUGGAGCUUACGUUCUGAAUAUAUCCUCCUUGCUCGUAAGCAGGAAAGAUGAUAUUUCUCCAAACUGAAAUUAACAUAAGAUCAUUGGUUCACGAAGGGUAGAUUUCGCAGAUUUGACUGAACACAGAUAAACUAUAAACGAAAAUAGAGAACUGGAUGCGGUUAAGCAUACCACUUCGGAAAAGUGGAAAGGCACGGUGUUAAACCAUAGGCCUUUAACGGAACUCGAUCACUUAUUAGACCGAUAUAUGAACGGCAACCUCUUUAGCUUUUCCACUCCCUCACCACACCAACCACUGUGUGAUACUGAACACCCACACAAUCUCGAUUUAAAAGAGAGAGACUGUAAGGCUAGAAUUGGUUCACACAUAUGUGUGGGGGCCGGUCCAAUCACUCGGUAGAUCACGCUAUUAUGUCACCUUCAUUGAUGAUGCGACUCGGAAGGUAUCCAGCUGUUACGAACUAUCAGAUAGUCAAGAAUUGACAGGAAUGAAGGGAAUUGAUUUCAGGGAUCAGAUAAAGAGGGAAUUUAUGAAAUAAGAGUUACGAGAACAACUAGUCGAACGGAAGCAUUAGUUUCUCUACGAGAUGGAGAUGGCUCAUUCUCUAGUUUUCCUACGAGAUAUAAGUCAGUUUCUAACGUACUUUGAAGUUCAGGAAGGAGUUAUUAAUUAAGACGAAGAAGAACCCUCGCUUGGCUUUGUCCCGAACCAAGGAGGCAUGAUGGCGGGCGCGUGCGUGUGCCGACUGCAGAGACUACAAGCCGACGCCGGAAGCAUCGCUUUCUUUCUUCUCCCUCCAUUUUAUUCACUACUACCGCUUCUACACAUAAAUCAAAGAAGCAUUGUGGAAUAGUGGCAUUUCAUUAAUGUCGAAAAUGUUCUUAGUGAAAGGGUUGCCUUCCUUCUUUUCAAUAAGAAGAAGUAUUUGAAAUGAAACAAAUUCCUCUUCAUUCUGUUGUGCUCAGCGAAGGAACUGCGUAAGCAUACUUUUGCGGCACCAUUGGCCGAAGCAGACCUGGAAGCUGAUCUGCGAGUGAAUGAAAUUGAACGAUUAAUAUCGCCUUUCAUGCUAAAAUCGGACGAUUUCGACCUUACGUUCACGAUACUCCUUCCUGUCCUUGCGAUGUUUGGUUAAGUGUUAUCAAUCAGCUUUACUCUUCUUCCAGCAUUCUUCUAAGGUUUGCCUCUAACGAUGGUUGAAUAGCUCCUGUUGUUUUUAUUCCAUUGAAUUGAUUUCAUGAACUUCCCUCAAGCUGAAACCGGAACGGGAUUGUCAUUUAGCUUCAAUUUCUUCAGUCUCACAAGCGGGUCCGCAUGCAACAAAAGAAAUUGUAUUUGCCUACUACUCCGACCUCAGGAAUGCAAGCAAGCGAGGCCAGAACAAGGAGUGUCAAGAAAAACAGUAGCCGUUUACUCACAAGCUAACACGAAGCACGAAACACAUGGAUUCUCUGAGAACCGGACUGACCCAACCAAGCAAUCACUUGAGCCAUUCACACCUUGGAAGAGCUAUUCAAAGGUUUUCUGGCUGACUAUGAGGACACCUCUGCAUCCCAGGAGCAGACCGCUCCCCCGGAAUCUGUGGUCAGUCAAGAGCGGCAUCCGAAUCCCGCUCCGAUUCAACCUUGACCCCAGGGAUCUCCUCUCCCCAACUACACUAGGCUCAAGGUGGAAUAACGAAAGGAGGGUGCGUGCGAUAGCUAACCGAUUGAAGGAAAUUCCUCGCCUAUCUUAUUCUUUUUCAGUUCCGAUCAUCAUUAUACGAUCCAAGUCGUGGAAAAGCCGAGUGGGAAAGCCGAAACCGAGGUAACUUAGGCGUAGGUCAAAGCACGGGCAUGGAAAAGGGAUUAUAUGGCGUGCUGGGCUGGAUGAAAGAAGCAACUACGCCCCUGGUACAUUUCAACGCCCAUGAAUUCUAUAUUUCAGCAGUAUCUGAGGCCAUAGCUCUCAACUCAGCUUCAGCACUCGAGCGGGACACUGCAGUCUGCUUCUUGGUUUUCCAAAGGUCCGGAGGAGCGGAAGAGUUUAUAGUCGAGAAGGGUCGGGCAUUAGCAAAUCCUUCAAUCCCAACUCUUGAAAAGAAGCAUUUCCUCCUGAUUGUCCACCUUUUCGGAGAAAGAAGCACAUCACUUAUACGAGAUUCUGAAAUGAUUGUUAUCUCUAGGCACAUCUUAUGGGCGGAUGUUGCUCCUCGGAAAACGCGUAUAGUAGUCUCAUUGGCCUUCGUCGAUGGGACAAACGCUCCAGUGUAUGCGUUACAAGGCAACUAGCAUGUUGGAUUAGAAGUUCGUGAAAGUAUGUUCUCAUUUUUCGUUGGAACAACCAACCAUUUUCUUCUCCAAGUUGAGGUUCAGGGUUCGGCGGGGUGUGGCUUGUGGAUGGCUCUCCCCGAUCUGGAACAGCCCCGAAUACGUGUUCCAGGGGAACUUCCGGAAUUGAAUAAGGGUCAAAACGGGGCUGUUCCCCUUGCGGCACCUCUCAGUUCGGAUUGUUCUCUGCAACUCGGGAACAUGAAGUUGAAAUCGCUAGUAAUCGCGGAUCAGCAUGCCGCGGUGAAUAUGUACCCGGGCCCUUCCUUUGUUCCUCUUCCUUCUGCGCAGAUACUUUUGAUCCACUCCUUUCCUAUACCGCGCCCUCUGCCUAUUACGGUCGAUACCCAGAAAGUUGCCGACUACUUUUUUUCAUAAGGGGGGAAGCGAAGCUUAGUGAGCUUAGAGCGAUUUCCUCACAAAAAAAGCACGAGCGAGAUAUUCAUCCUUAACAGGGAUCUCAAUUGCGGGAAGAAGAUUUUUUCUUCAGGAUGGAGCGCAUCAGAUAUUAACAUUUUUGGAUUACUUUUUUCGGGGUUAAUCUGACCUUCUUUCCCAUGCAUUUCUUAGGGCUUUCGGGCAUGCCACAUCGCAUUCCAGAUUAUCCAGAUGCUUACGCCGGAUGGAAUGCUCUGAGCACUCUCAACGGAUCCUCCACGCGCUGCGCUGGGCAUACCAUAGUUCUUCCGUGCGUCUUUAUCGUGGCGGAAACAGAACAAGAGGGAAAGACCCGGCUGGCUCAUUCCAUUGAUAAGCUCAUCGGGCUGCUCGUCGUUAGGAAGAGAAAGUCCUACUGCUGUAACCGCAACAUCAAGCAAGUAGGAUCGGGAUUCAGAUGUUCAAUAAAUAGGUUUGUUAGAAGAGACAGGAAUUUAUUCUUUAUUAGUGCAUGCCUUUUUUUUUGUGAUUCGAGCAGUUCUUGUCACGAGAUGAUGGGCCAGAGAAAAGUUUGAUAGGAAAGGAAGGUGGGGCACUUCGUUGCUGGGCUGGAAUAGAAACUGACGUAUGGAGGACUUGUGAGAUCUUUCACUCUUCGACAACGAAAGCCUUGAGGACGUCAGCGAUGUGUUAUAGGGACGUCAACGAAAGCUAGUAGGGAACUGCAACCAGAGAGAGAGUUCUAGUGAGUCCAGACUCUUUCUUUCGUUCAUCAAAGCGAAGCAUGGCUGCAAUCCCAAACUCAUCCUUUUUUCCGCGAGCAAUCUACGUUUGUGAUCUCGUAUAUUUCGCUUCUCCGACAUCUUACUUAGUUUCCCCCUCAUAUUUUAGCAAAAAGCCGCUCCACAGUAGUAAAGUCUCAUCUUUUGUAUUGGCCGAAGUGACAAUAGUCACAUUACAAAGCAGAGCCCUCGUGAAUACACGUACCAUUAAUGAAGGAACAGCUAGUACUAAUUAUAUGAGGGAAUACUAAUUAUCUAUUCUUAUGUAUUCUCUCACAAUCACUCCUAGCAAUAAGUGAAAAGGCGGCUAUCGAUACUGUCCCAACAACCUCCUCUCAAUUGAUCCCUCGUUACUGCCCAUAGGAGAAGUAAUAGGUAGGGAUGACAGGAUUUGAACCCGUGACAUUUUGUACCCAAAACAAACGCGCUACCAAGCUGCGCUACACUCGUGAAGGUAAUGAAAUUAUCCGAUCAGCUUGCAAAUGGAGUCCUGAACUAGCCAGGUCUCGUUCUUAUAUGCUACCUAGAAUUAUUUAGAACUUAAAUCUUUAAGCAUGUGCUUAGUCAAGGAGGAAACUACUAAAGAACAAAGAAGUCGUCUUUGGUCAGUGAACCAACUUUUGCCGAGCCCCAUUGCCAACUCUAAAUUACAUUCAUUUCACCAGUCCGCCAAUCCAAUUAGGAUUCCCAUCGGUUGCAUCGCUCCUGCUCGCAGUAGUCGUUUCUUCUCCGGUGAAUCAAUUUCUUCUAAACAGAAUAAGGGCGGCAUCCUGCUCUCGACUAUCUCUGCCGCGGAAUGGGAUCGCUUGCCAGCUAGGCCCUCUAGAAAAAAGUUGGAGCAACAUUGUAUGAACUCUCGGGUUUGGAACAGAUAAGUUCUGUACGGAUAACAAAGAAUAGAAAUUGGAGAGCAGGUGCCCUUCCCUGGUUGUUACCUUCCCAGCCCCAAAGGAAAAGCCCUGAUCAUUUGAAAAAAAAGAAGCCAUGCAUGCCGACACGUUUUAACAGAUCAGUAGCAUACUUCUCUUGAGUCAAGAUAAUUCCAUCAUGAACUUUAUUAACUUCUAUGCCCAAGAAAUAGUGCAACGCACCAAGAUCCUUAAGGGCAAAUUCUUCUUUCAAAUCUUGAAGUAAUGCCGAAGUUGCUUUUUCACAAGAACUAGCAACAAUGAUGUCAUCAACAUAUAUCAACACAAAUAUGGAGAUUGUACCUUUCUUGUAAAAGAAGAGCGAAGCAUCUGCUUUUGACGGUUGAAAUCCAAGCCUAGCUCGUUAUUCUUUGAGAUAUGGAUAGAGUCUCGCUUCGGGGCGGGGGAAGCAGCAAGCGUAGGCUAAAAAGAGGUGGGUCGGUUUAGUCAUCAGCUCAAGAGGACAGGGGAGAGAUAGGAGACAAAAAGAGGCAAAGUGAGGCCCGCCCAAGCAAGUGGUUUGUUUUUGAGAGAGAAGUGUUUUCUUUGGAAAAGAAGAGCUCUUUCUAAGUUGACUUGCUCUGUUCGUCCGCUGUCAGAUCAAAACGGGUAGGGAUCGGCCCAGCCUAGAACAACUCGCUUCUCAUAAAAACGAAUCCCUUUGUGCCUGGAAGAAAUGCAAAGGGGAAUGCUGGGUCAGAGCCAAAGAAUGUGAACUAUACAAGUUCACAAUACCCUUUGAUGAAAUGAAAGAAAGGGUUCCGGUGUAUAGAGAGGGCCUGCGGACGGCUGUCCGAAGUGCAUGCAAUGACGGGCUCGGAUAGGAUAGGGUUGUGCGUGCCGGGCCCUUCGGGUGUCCAUAUUUUGGCCGACCCAUCCUAGUCUUUUGCGACACAGCUGGUUUACUUAUUUUGUUAGGUCUCGACUUCUCCGCUAUGAUCUCCCCAGUAGUUCAUAUAGGAGCUAUUGCCGUUUCAUUCCUAAGCAAGCUGGAGCACCUUUCACUCUCGGGCAUAAAGGCUUUUAUCCAAUUCAUUCACAGGAAGGGUAGAAGGAGCUUCAAAGCUUUUAGCCGGCGUUGGAGCUCAGACGGUGCAGUUAGUAUUGACCACUACCGCCAAGUCCAUAAUUAAAAAAUUGAUGAAGUCCACAUAAUGGAGCUCAAAAGCCGAUUAAAAAAUCUACUUUUUGAGCAUCUUGAAACCGCACAUAAAAAAUAUUAUGAAUGAAUCACCUUACAAUAACAUACGAGAGACAGCUUUCGAUUUUUUCGAACAACAAGUCGAACCCAAUGAACAAUUCCAUUCAAAGGAAUGUUCUAGAGGGGGCCCUUUUCCGCUAUAUUCGCGAUAUUGAACAAAAUGGAAGAAAUUCUUCACGAUUUCUAGAGUUCCGGGAUUACUUCACGGAAGAUCGGGUUAAAAAAUUCUAAAGCUUUCGUCUCAAUUCAUAUUUAGCCGCGAGCAAUCUACGUUUGUGAUCUCGUAUAUUUCGCUUCUCCGACAUCUUACUUAGUUUCCCCCUCAUCUUUUAGCAAAAAGCCGCUCCACAGUAGUAAAGUCUCAUCUUUUGAAUUGGCCGAAGUGACAAUAGUCACAUUGAACCCUCGAAUAUGCUCGAAGAUCUCGAAAUGAUCUUCCAGUUCCGGGGAGAAUUCGCAAAACUCCGUUUCCAUAAAGAAUGCUAAAUGACAAUCUGAACCUACUUGCUUACAGGAUCUUUAAGAAAACUGUGGACUUUUGCACCUUUCUGUCUAGCUUGAGUUAUCUUUUAGUUCUCUCCCCUCGGCAAAGUGGAUAGGAAAGAGUCUUGCAGGUUGAUCAACAAGUAAAUCCUCCCGGAUAUGAAAAGACAAGAUCAAUAUGUCAGCUAGCUUACUAAUACGGCAGCUGCUUAAACUCAUGCUGUACCUACAUAUCUCAUUUGGCUAUCCUUACCUAUUGGCUAUCCCAGGUGACCUUACACCUAAUGGACUAAUGCCAAGCUUGAAACUCCUAUGUAGAGGGAGCUAUCUCGCCUAUGUUUACGUUGCAAUGCUACUCCUCUGUUCUGUUUCUAGUGCGGUUAUGUGUAUUACAAGUUUUAAUAAGAGCGCACUACUCAUCCCAUGGGAGAUGGAGCCAUAGAGAAAUCCAAUCGUCAAAAUCAAUAAAAAGGCCAUCAUGGACCAAGAUCCAAACAGAUCAAUCUUGUUAGGAGGUACUGCCCAAGGAAAAAAAAAGGUGACGUUAUGGUAUUGACUACGAAGAGACUUUCAGUCCUGUAGUCAAGGCGGCCACAAUUAGACUAAUAUUGUCACUAGCAGUCGAUGACAUAGAUAGAGCCUCCUUCUUUGAUCCAUUCAUUGAUAACAAUCAAUAAACAUCUUCAACCAAUCCAAUACAAAUACUGAAAAAGAAGCAGUCUACCAACUUUUCUUUCACAAGGCCGCAGGCGCAAGGGAUGAGCGUGAAAUCCGUUGCUUGUUCUUUCGGUAGCCUUCUUUCAUUUCCGAAUUAGCUUGCGAGCAGUCCUUGCAUUAGUAUGAGUUCGUUGACCGCAUAAGGGCGAACAAAACGGAAUGUACCGGAUUUUUAGCACGUACAACCAUCAAACCAGAGACCAAAGCAGGGCUCGACAAAACUGAAAGUAUCAUGGUACGUCGUCCUCCCUUGAAAUGGAACUUGAAUGCUGGAGCAAGAAGACGCAUUCAAGUCGAUCUUAUUGCAUCACCCACACCUAAUUACAACAGUUGAAUGCUGUAUUUGCAUUUUGAUAUUGUACAUAGCUAUUUACUUCUAUUAUAAAUGUACCCUUGGUCGGAACUAGUUUUUUCGCUUUUUUAGCCGAUUUUUUACCUUUUUUGGACCCAUUCUAUAAAUGGAUGGAAGAAAUUAAACCAAUUCUUUCCCGCCAUAGGCGAAAAGUACUAAUUUUUAAUUCGCCUAAGGAAUUGGCAUUUUUCCGGGUUGUUUUAAAAAACAUUUGUUCCAGCCAUAGCGAAAAGUACUGAAAAUUCACUUUCCCUCGUAAAAAGGAAAAAACUGGGUGCAGAAAAAGGAAACUUUCUGUCCAGUCUGUGGCAAAAGUAAUACUUUUUCCAUUUUCCUUCGCGAUCGACCUUUCGGAUUUUAUAAACUAAGGAACCUGGUGAAAAAAGCAACCCUAUUAUUCCUGAGCAAAAGAAAGCUUACUACAGCACGGUCUUACGUCCAGGAUUGGAACAUUCCAUCUCUUCUUGUCCACUGGUAUAGAAAGAAUAUGCAUUUUCUUGACUGCUUAUUCAACGCCCUGCCGACUUGGAUACUGCUGGCUCUCUUGCAUUACGUGAUAGAAAUGAAAUGACAGAAGAACAAAGCAAGGGCUUUCAAUGCGCGAAAUCCGUUUCGAGUUAGAGUGCGAAACUUCUUGCUGCAGCCGUUUUAUUCGCUGCCAAUUGCACAUCAGGAGAAGAUGUCACUACAGAUCCUGCAACCUCAAGAGGGAGCAGCCUGUCCGUCCUAUUUAAAAGACUUUGGAUUUUUUUCUCCGGGGAUCGAGGUCUCAUUAGCCGAAGAAGACCCAGGCCAAUCCACGUGGCCUCUUUGACCAACGUCAGCGACAGAGACAUAGUAAAUUGGUCCGCGGGCAUCGCGAUAAGUCCUCUGUCCUACUACAGGUGCUGCGACAACCUUUACCAAGUCCAAACGAUUGUCAACUACCAGAUCCGCUGGUCCGCUAUAUUCACCCUAGCCAGCUAUCUCCUUUAUGAGUUUCUUCCUUUCUGAAAGUCACCACAGUGGAGAGUUACUAUCGACUUUCUCCAUGUGCCACUCGCCAGGGUUGAGUUGAGGGGGCAGCCCGUGCGCUAAUUGGGCUUCGAGGUUGGCUAUACGCGAAAAAAGCUCGCUUUCUACUGAGCUGUCCUAAACUGUUCCAGAAUGUUAUUUGUUUCAUAGGAAGAUUCCAAAAGCACAUUGUGAUGCCGAAAGAAUCUUCGUCGCCCUCAUUCCGUAGUUGAGUUCUUUCGCAUUUCUCGUAUAGUUUUUCGUGGAUUAGCAUCUCGAGGUUCUUUGAUGGGCAUAAAGAAAUUGUCUUGCUAGCAACCACCAAACCAAUAGAACAAAGGUUAGCUCUGCAGCUAGUCCACAUCUAUUUGUGCAUUCAAUGCUGCCAUUCCCCCGGCCCCAAAGGACAAGAUUGAGUCGCCGCUAUCACUUUUUUUGGGGGGCCAAUCCCGCGAAGAGUUAUGGAAAGAUUUUAUAGCUCGUCACAAGAAAGGAUUGAUGGUCGAGUCCCCGUGCAUGAAGUCAGUGGAUUCGAGUGAACUGACCGUACUACAAAUCGACAUACUUGAGGAAGCUUCUUACUAAACCAAAGAAAGGGCAGCUCCAGUUGUAUUGUCGAUUCCCUUCUCCCGAGAGCUUUCACACUCUGGGAUGGGAGUCCCUUCCAAGACUUGACCAAAAGCUUAUCUCUUGAAUCUAAAUUUAACAUUUUCCAAAACGCGGCUAGACCGAGGCAGAGCAAGAAUCGAGUUCCGUUAAAGGCCUAUGGUUUAACACCAUGCCUUUCCACUUUUCCGAAGUGGUAUGCUUAACCGCAUCCAGUUCUCUAUUUUCGUUUAUAGUUUAUCUGUGUUCAGUCAAAUCUGCGAACUCGACUAGAUAUUCUGCACAGGCCCUGGUGGGUUCUCCAUAGCGGAAGCAACCUCUGGGCCUUCCACAAAAAAAAACGAAAACAAACCAGAGAAGGAUCCAAUUAGAGUAGAGGAAAAAGCCUCCCUCCUCCUUCUGACAAUAUAAAGUCCCAAAAAAAUGAGGGAAAUAAAAAUAAAAAUAAGGUAAGGUCUAUCGGUCCACAAACUGCAGCCCAGGACGGGCGUCGUCAUCUAGGCGUGACUUCUUGUUUUGAUCUCCCCUACGCCUAGGACGUAGUCUGGGCCAAGAGCCAUAGUUAGUUGCUGUUUCCAUUUGGUUCUUCUUUCUCGUUGUUGAUACCGGCAAGACCCGAAUAGAAGAAGAGCAGUCGUCAAUUGAUUGAAAGUGGAUUGACGGCAUUCAUCAGUUGAUUGAAAAUGGACUUUUCUUUUAUGAUCGAGCGAGGUCCGUUUUUGGGCUUAAAAGUCCUUGUAAGCUUAUGCCUCAUCAUGGUUGGGAAGGUUAUAGUAGCUUCAGUCAUUGGAAUUACUCUAUUUCUAUAUAUAGGCCUUAUCCUUUUUGUUAUUGCGUUAUGGUAGAGGGAAAGAGAAAAGAAAGAAGAGAAAUUGGGCCAUGUUUCCCGAGAGAGACUGCCUUCUCUCAGGCCAGCAGUCUUAUACUUAUAGUCGACUGCUCUAUGACGAUCUGACCUCUUUCCUGGGCUCUGCUCGCUCGUCUACGCUCCUACCAAUUCAAGAGCAAUUCAAAUGCUUUGAUUGCUUAUCAGAUAAGAGGUAAAAAUAUUCUUCAUUCAUUUAUUUUUUUAAUGCCAAAUUUCAUUCAAAUCCAUUCUUAAAAAGGCAUAGUAGAGAAAGGCGGACCAGGCAAUCUCUGAGUUGAAAUCGAUCCCAGACAUCCAUCUCUUUCAAAAAGUUCUAAAGGCCGACUACUACAGGGUGCGUGCGCUGGGACUGAUCGGGACGACCUUGUCGGUCCUCACAUUCACGGAAUGAAGUCAACCUUAGAAAGUAGCCGAUCGGGACGAUCAUGCGUCUCAAGAGGAGAAGCAUGGACUGUUGCUAGCGCUCAUAAAUAUCCUUAUGACCCCUGAAGAUGGAGUUGUUUAGUGAAAAAAGGCCCAGCAGAGAGAACAGUCAAGAUAACUAGCGCGGAGUCCGCUUGGCAGGCGGCAGGAGCUGCGGGCAAGUGCUUGCUUGGUAGGCCAACAGCCCUGUGAACCGGGCGGGGCACCUCCGGUUAUAGAUGCCCUAACAAAACUUCAUAAGAAGAUAUCGCGAGAAAUAGUUGAGGAUCGAACUCUAUCUCAAAAGAGAAAUCGAUGUUUUACUACCAGUCACAAGCUUUAUGUUCGGCACAGUACUCAUACUGGAACUUACGAGCAAGAAUUGCGGAUAAGGGAAAGCCCGCUAUAUUAUAUAUAGUAAUCACCUGCCAAAAGGAAAGCCUGACCGAUAAUAAUAAUAGGUCUAUGCGCCGAACAAGCAAUGGUAUAUUAGAGAUAGUAAGGAGUUGUAUACACGGGGGUAUGCAUUCAUGUCACGCUUUCUGUGUGAUAAGAGGUUGCUAGCUAGCAAGUAUAGAAACAGGAGAUAUGCGUAGUUAACAGAAGCAAGGGAAUAUGCGUGAGUUGAUUUGAUAGUUUUUUUGAGAAAAAGCAAUUUCAUGAAGUUGGCCUUAGGUGUAAUAGGACUCCCAGUUACUGCGCGCGAUCGUAUACUGAGGUGCUCCCCGUCGGUUGUUGGAACGACGCGAGCCCCAAAAUAAUGUGACUUGGUCCCAAGGUAGAAAGUGAAGAACACUGAACAGAGCUGAAGCUGCAUGAUUAUGAAAUCCCCCAGGGCGCUUCUGAAGCCUCUUUCUAGUCCAAUCCCCCCACAUCGCGUAUAAAGGGAAUCGAACCCAACUCUUCCACUUGCCGCCAAUGCGGAAGGAUGCCACCAAAAAGAAAGGAGACUGAUCUUAACGUUGGCGUCGGUUUUUCCAAGAAAAGUUAGAUUUGAUUUGUCUUUUUCAUGCGGAACAGAACCGUAUUAGUAAGCGGGCCAGUUAACAGAAGCAAGGGAAUAUGCGUGAGUUGAUUUGAUAGUUUUUUUGAGAAAAAGCAAUUUCAUCUCAAGGGAAAGAUCAGAGGAGGAGAAGAAUGAAGGUGUGGGCGGGAAGGAGGAGGCAAGGCCCCCUCAAUGUUUAUUCGACUACUCAUUACGGAACCACCGAUUGAUCCGAUUAGACUUUCCGUGGUAUGUUGAGUUCUUGAAGCAUUGCCGAUAUCGAUAUAUAUUUCUUUGCAUGGGACAGUAGCCUUUUCUGCGGCGGAACAAGCUAAGAAGUGCAGGCGGCUCUUAUUUGAUAAGAUAAGGCAGAUGGUAUGAUCAAAUUCACUCUUGCGCUUUUUUUUGUAUUGAACGCAUGGCGUAGCUAGGACCCCUCCAAUCAUGUUUGAGCCUAUGUUCACCCGGGGUCCAAAAAGGAGAAUUCCGGAAUGCCUGCCGACGUUCAGAUAAAGUGCAUAUCCCUUACUACUAAAGGAAAGGCUCGACGAAGGGGGGGGAUUUUCCGGGUAAGGAAAAUGCUUUCGGAGAUUGAGAUGUCGAUUUGUUUUUCAUCGAAAAGGAAGAAGGCCGAGGGGAUAGCUGCCUUCCUUCGGGCUUUGCCUGCCGACAUUCUAAUAAAGAAUUCCGGCUCGGCCCGGGAAAGCGCUGGCAACAACAUAAAGAAAGGGGUCCAUGUAGCUGCUGCGCCCGCCCACUGAGCAGCAGGUUCGGCAUCUACUACAAAAGAGAGAAUCCACUUCAGAUAACCACGCCUCUGCUAGGCAGCGUGUGGAAUGGCCGGGAGCGGACCAAAUGGAUAUAUAAUCCAAGCCGAGAGUGGAGUUACGUGAACAGCCGUCUGAUGGAAAACAACUUUCGACUAGGAAAAUGAAGACAAAGGAAUUUGGAAUUACAAGACGGAUAUCAGCUUGCUACUUCUGACUUUGACUUUCAAUAGGGAGGUCAAAAACUAGCACUUUUUUCGAGGAGUGAUCAUGGUUGAUGUCUACUUGCCGGGCUGCCCACCUAAACCGGAGGCGGUUAUAGAUGCCCUAACAAAACUUCAUAAGAAGAUAUCGCGAGAAAUAGUUGAGGAUCGAACUCUAUCUCAAAAGAGAAAUCGAUGUUUUACUACUAGUCACAAGCUUUAUGUUCGGCGCAGUACUCAUACUGGAACUUACGAGCAAGAAUUGCUCUAUCAAUCACCAUCUACUUUAGACAUAUCUUCUUCAACUUUUUGAAAAUCCAAAAGUCCAGUAUCUUCCUACAAAUUAGUGAAUUUGCAGCAUUCUGAAUUCAUAAUUCGAACUGAUCAGCACAGUCUCGUGCAUUUAGAAGAUCAACGACUACACCUUGGCAGCAGAAGGCCUUCACUAAGUUUCUUGGACUUCAAUACCGACGCAAGGGAGCCAAGAAUGGAGCAGCUGAUGCUUUGUCCCGACGCAGCCAUAGAGUCGAUCUUGCAGAUAGGCGGAGGUAUGAUUGCUUGCUCCUUGCAUGUGAAGGUGGGAAACAAGGAAACAGCAGAAAUGCUUACUGGGACAUAGCCUUCGGUACGAGUUGAAGGGAAGAGGAUUGCUUGGAACCUCUAAGACAUGGCACCCCUGCCCCUUCCCGGCUACUGGAUCACUCCAGUGCUUCGGGUACUACGGACCCUCUGCCAUCCAUUGCAGCAGAGCCGUUUCAUGAGCGGGGGGGCUAAGCGCAGUUCUUUGAAUCAAAGGUUUUAUGAAAUCGAAAUUGAUUCUUUUUUAGAUAUCUGGAUAGAUGGAUGGGGCCUGGGAGUGAAUGUGGAAGCUUAACACUAGCAACGGGCAGAACAGUUGGUAAAGGAGAUCAUUGGCACUAUGGCGCAUGUAUGUUGAGUUCUUGAAGCAUUGCCGAUAUCGAUAUAUAUUUCUUUGCAUGGGACAGUAGCCUUUUCUGCGGCGGAUCGUUUCCUUUUCUCCAAUCAUAAAUAACCUGAUCUCUUUCUUUGUCUUUCAUCAAAUAAGUACAAGAAUUGCAUAGAUGAGGAUUCGGUAUUGAUCGCUAAAAUGCGAGAAAAAGACCCACGUUUCUCUGUUCGUCCGCUAUCAGAUCAAAACGGGUAGAAGCAGCUUGUUCUUUCGCGCUAGUGCGCUCAAUCCGUUGCUUGUUCCUUUCCUUUGGAUUUAUUAUCAUAAUAGCGUAGACAAAAGGUAGGACCAGAUCAUGCGAAGAACUCUUCGCCCUAUUGAUUAGGAAUCUCGAUUAGAAACCACCAGGCCAUGUCUCCCGAUAAAAGAUGAUCCCCACAAUGGAUGUCAGGCCUUGGCUUCAUAAAAUCUGAUUGGAUCCGCACUAGAGGAUAAGAAUACAGAUAGGCUGACUUAGAAGAUCUUAAAAUUGGCGUAGACAAAAGGUAGGACCAGAUCAUGCGAAGAACUCUUCGCCCUAUUGAUUAGGAAUCUCGAUCAGAAACCACCAGCCUCGAAUGGAGCAUUACGAGUGCAUGAUUGAGUUGUUUAGUAAGCAUGGUUGAUUUUUAAUCAUUUUUUUCCACCUUAAGGGCCCCAGAAACUUCUAGUUAUUCUCCAGUAGGAAAGGUUCUAGUGACAUUGCUGCUAUUGCUGGAAGUCCCGCAGCUUACUGCUCACGGAAACAUCCGACCUUAUGGUCAAGUCGUCCGCCUAUCUUUCUGAUCUCAUUCGUUUGUAGAUCGCAUAAAAAGCUCUUCGUUGUCUGAGAGGGCAGAAGGCAUCAGACUUGUAGUCUAAAUGCUGUGUAUCUGACAUACUUCAUUCUCUGUGCAGGGUACGAUUUCACUAUGGACAUCCUGAUGUGUUCGACAGGAUUUUUAUCUGGUGACUCCCUUCCCCCUUUUUUCCCAGAAUGAAUUCGCCCGACGCGACGAAUCCUGCCCUCCUGUCUUUCUUUCUCAUUGGCCCCGCUGCCGCUACUGCUCGAAAGCAUGACAGCUCCGCUUCCUCGUCUUGCUUCUACUUUGCUUGUUUGCGCGAAGGCUUAGAGUCCUUUUCGCUAGGUCCAAAUUCGUCAAAGUCGCCACGACGACUCUCCGUCGUGGAAUUAGACCAAGGGUCGAAGACCUAUACCAUAGGACCCCGUCCGAUUUCAGAGCCCACUUUAUUAAAAACUUCGAUUUGAAGCCGAGAACCCACCUAAAAACAAUCAUUUGACUAAAAAAUUCGUUGGAUAGGUGCAUCACGAAAUCGGUACUCAAUCCCUUGCUUGUUCGUGGGAUGGGAGUAUCUCCUAUUAGCGAUGCUCAGAUUUCAAUGGAAGGAAGAUAGUUAUUCCAAUCACUUUUCUCGAUAGGCAGGGCGGGACUCAAGAAACCUGCGUACGGCAGGGCUAGGUUACCAGCGUACGGGCAAGAGAAAUUUUAUCUUCUCGUCAGGUCAUUAGAGGCUCCUCUGGAGGCCAUACAAGAAGGAUCCUUAAUUCAUUGCAAGGCAUUCUCCAAUCCCCAUUCACACUCUCCUUAUUCAUACAUCAGUUCAGCUACAACAAAGAAGAUAUCCUCCCAUUGGUUAGUUGGCUCCCUGUAUGGUUGGUACCUGCUUUCCCGUAAGUCUGUACGGAGAAUCAAUAAAGGCAUCCGCAGUGGAAUCAAACUCAUAAGGGACAGGAUCACCACCAUUCGGUAGACCAAACACCCUAUGAACACUGCCGGCAUGAGAUAUGAGUCGUUAGAGCACAUAUCUCCGUGAUCCCUUCCACAGCUAAACGUAGAUCUCUAUCUUGUAGUGGAGUGUAGAGUAAAGAUAUACCGGAGCGGAGUGCAAGAAGGUUAUAGGGGAGUGUGGCGCCCGCUUGCCCGCCUUUCGUCUCGGUUGAAAAACAAAACCGUUGCUUGCUUUGUGGCCCUAUCGCUUAAGGUUCCUUUUGAGUACGAUCAUAUUAGUGAGAUGAGGCAUAUCUAGAUCCAUCUGAAUCGAACACCCAAACUCAUACCUAGAUUAUAGGAGAGAUCGACAUCUAUAUCAGGGUACACCCAUCUUUCCAAUCAAUUAAAGAAUCGGUGGGUACUAGACUAGAGCCAGGAAUCGAAAGAGAAAUAAAUCGGGAACUUCAGUACUGCAGGCUGAGGACAGUGGUUAAAGAGAGUCAGGGAAUUAUUGGUAGCAUCAAGUUUUUUCUUCUAAUUUCUACUAUUUCUUCCAGGAUCAAAAAUAUUUUACUUGGUUGAGCUUUGUCAACAGAUUGGCAGUGAAAUAGAAACUUUUCUAUGGUGAAAUAUUAGAGAAUAACUAUAUAAAAUAAAAAAUAUCUCUUUGAGAUUUCCCCGCUGGCGCUCGCUCAAUCCGUUCACCAGGGUUCCUUUCCUUUCCUUUACGGUCGAGCUACUUCUCGUUCAUCAUCAAGUGGUUUCAAUUAUAAGAAUAAUUAUACUAGUGAACUAACAAUUUGGCUUUUCAAAGUUCGUUUAAGAAAAUGCAAUGAAAUGUUUAGCAUCUAGUUUAGUGGGUGCUUGCCUAUGGUUCCAUUUAUUAAUUAAUCAAACCAUUUCCUUUUCAUGCCAUCCAUCGAAUUUAAACUUUAUCGUUAUCAUUGGCUGGAAUGAGAAUAGCUGCAGGAUCCAGAUCACCAUUUGUUGUAUCAUAGUUGGAAUGGCUAAAAUAAGACAUUCUUGAAGAGCUAUAUAUUAUUUUUGCUGAUCAAUGAUGAGCACAAUAUCAGGUAACCCUUUUGGAAUGAAAAACUAUGACUUCGUAGUUUUCGUUAGUAGAAACCUAAUUCAUUAAAAUUCCGUCCAGUAAAACGGAAGAAUUAUAAAUUUCUAAAAUAAUAGAUAGGAAUACCGCGAAUAAAGCCAUUGCGACCCCCAUAAAAGGAGUAGUCCCCCAACCCGGAGCUACUUUCCCAUAUUCCGAAUUAAUUGAUCAUAACGAUAUCGUGGAAAUGCUGCACGGACCCAUAUAUAUAGAAACAGAAAAAGAAGAACCUUGAUACUAAACCAGAUCGAACAAGGGAUCUUCUUGGAAAUGGGAAGAUCUAGGAUAGGCGGCCAACCUCCUAGAAAGAGCGAUGUGCAUAGACCGGGUGAGUAGGGAUGCAGCUCCGUGGACCGCUCGUCGGGCCUGAUAGGUGGUGGUAUCACACCCUUCUCCAAGGAACCGUACGUGAGACUCUCGCCUCAUACGGCUGCGUCCUGGAAUCUGGACAGUUUUGUCUUUUGUGCCGAAGCUAUUUAUAAAGCACAGGCCGAAACCGGUGAAAUUAAGGGGCAUUACUUGAAUGCGACUGCAGGUACAUGCGAAGAAAUGAUUAAGAGAGCUGUAUUUGCGAGGGAAUUAGGGGUUCCUAUUGUAAUGCAUGACUACUUAACCGGGGGAUUCACCGCAAAUACUAGUUUGGCUCAUUAUUGCCGCGACAACGGCCUACUUCUUCACAUUCACCGAGCAAUGCAUGCAGUUAUUGAUAGACAGAAUAAUCAUGGUAUGCAUUUCCGUGUAUUAGCUAAAGCAUUGCGUAUGUCUGGGGGAGAUCAUAUCCACGCUGGUACAGUAGUAGGUAAGUUAGAAGGGGAACGCGAAAUGACUUUAGGUUUUGUUGAUUUAUUGCGCGAUGAUUUUAUUGAAAAGAUCGUGCUCGCGGUAUCUUUUUCACUCAGGACUGGGUAUCCAUGCCACGAAGCAGCUUCUCUAAUAACCCCGUUGAAUAGGAGGGCGAAGGCUUUUUCGAACUUAUUUAUAGAGGGGGGCUUCGACCUUCUUAGGAAGAGCCGUACGAGGCUGCUCACAUACGGUUCGGGAGCCGAGCCACGAGUCCAAUUUGAAGUUGUUGAUGUUUAUAUUGGUCAAUCAUAAAAUAGAAAUAAGAAAAGAAUUUAUAUUUAUUCUGAUCAAACUUCUUCCCUAUUAACCUGGAAGUUCUUCUGAGAUACAAGGAAAUGGUUCGUUUUUUUGCUUUUUAGCAGUAAUCAGAAAGUUAGCUCUUUUUCCAGACCAGUGGCCUUGGAGUUCAUCCCCGUCCUCUGCCAGGUGAGAAGGAAGAUGAGAGAUAUGUUCCUUAGAAGUCGUCUUCAACUUUCUUCCAGGAAAGCCUUUCACCGAGUGAGCAGCAGUAAGAAAGGGUUUAGCUAAUGGAGAAAUUGACUCUUCCGAGAACCAGUAACGCGUAAACCAUGUCAAACCAAGACCGAUCAAUAUCCGAACGGAACGGAUAUACCAGUAGUAGAGUGGCUUGAAUCAAAUCGUUUGUCUAGAGGGAGUGUAGCGAUAACCAAAGCUGACUGUACUAGAAACUUUAGAUCCUGUCCGCUCAUAGCACGAUGGAAUUGCGCAAUUGUAGCCCGACGCGCUGCUUCAAUGGCUCGAUAUGAAAGACGACCAGCUCUACAACUUUUGGCCGGCAAAGAAAACCAACACUUAAGACGCUAUUGGAGACUAGCGUAGCUAUUAUUCGAAGCUUAUUAAUUUCUUUACUGCGUUCAAGGCAUGACCGCGUGAUAGGUGUCCUUUUCCCCCUACUCAAGAAGAGUUACAUCUAAGUUCCGAUCGUAAUAUGACAAACAAAUCUUACUUUUUCUUUCCCAAGCUGGCGCGGCUCGGCAAAAGUUGGUUCACUGACCAAAGACGACUUCUUUGUUCUUCAGUAGUUUCCUCCUUGACUAAGCACAUGCUUAAAGAUUUAAGUUCUAAAUAAUUCUAGGUAGCAUAUAAGAACGAGACCUAAGCUAUAAGCCCUAUAAAAGACUGUGCUGAUCGCGCAACUGAUCAUAUCCAGCGACCAAGCAGAUCAACUAGAAGGUCAUAUGUCCACCCGCCCUUUCCUUUGAGAAAUCCUAUUCCUAUCGAUUUAGCUGCAUAGGCAAUACGACAUUACUAUGAAUAAAUGACGAGCGAAUGGUGGCAGUACCAAAUGCCGAAUUAGCGGCUGUACCAAAUGAUCAAUGCCUCUGGGGUUUCCCUUCUCUUCAGCCCUUUUGCUCUUCUAACAACAAUGGUGAACGGCCAUUUGUCAAGGCCCCGGAAUCCGCUGGACAUCCCAGCGGCGGGAUUCGAUACCCGCAUCAGAUCGAAGUGCGGGCUCACUGAAAACCAAACUGUUCGUAUUUCUUUAAAACGCUGCUGCCCUAGCCGGGGGUCUGUCUAUAGAAGAAGGGAAUCCAGAGGAAGAAGCAGCUCCCCGAAGGGUUACCGAAAACUUUGUGAAAAUACUUCUACGAGAAGGUUUUAUUGAAAACGUUCGAAAACCAUAGGGAAAGUAACAAAUCUUUCUUGGCACGUGCCCCUGCUCCUGGUCUUCGAACUAGUCAUUAAUGGUCGGCAACAUAGGUACCCUUUUUCAGUAUGCGUUGCGAACACUUUCAUUUUUAGCGUCUCAUCUUCUCUGGAGAAGCUCAAAUCGGCUUGGGUGCAUCAAAACUUGCAAUACGAAGAUCCCUUUCAGAUCAGCAGGAGGAGCAGGUUGCACCACUGGUUGGGGAGGAAUUCGCGCAGCGGUUUCGAAGACUGAAGCACUUCUUGCAAGUAUCAACAGGUCAGAAUGCCAAAUAAGAGUUUCUUGUGGUCGAAAUCAAAUGGUAACCAGUUUGAGGGGUGAUUGAUCACUAAGCGACAUAUGGCACGAAAAGGAAAUCCAAUUUCGGUAAGACUUGAUCUGAAUCGUAGUUCAGAUCCAAGUCGGUUCAGUGAGGGCGCCCCGACCCAUGUUCAAUCACUGAAGUGUGGUUGAGUGAGAUGAUCCGCAACCAACAAAUGAUUUGUCAUUGUCUCUAAAUCACUGAAUGAAUUCGUUUUUUAUUUAUAUAUGAGAACUAGAGAGUUCACUAGCGCAGAAGGGGAGACCAGAAAAUGCCUUUUGUUUUCCCCCCUUCAGCGGCCCUAGCCGCCUUCGUUAACGAGCCCUCGAGCCUCCUUUGCGCCGCCUUCCUCAUAGAAGCCGUUGGGUUGACCCCGAGGGCCGAAUUCAAUGGUAGAGAAGGCUUUAAUAAGAAUUUGGCCAUGAGGAUAGGCUGGCCCUUACGUAAGGACUAUAUAACACCCAAUUUCUAUGAAAUACAAGAUGCUCAUUGAAUGAUAAGAAAUUCAUGCUCACUUAUACAACACAACUCCUGAUUUUAUUCAAGUCAUUUUUUGAGCAACUAACGCGAAAGCCGUUGCGCGUUAGCGCAUUCGGAACCACACAUUUUUAUACGAUUUUCGGAUCAUUUGAUUUUCAUUUUGAAAACUUUAAAACCUUAUCAGAGAGGGGCCACUAAGGCUGGAUGUUGGCUUCAAGAAAUCUCCUUUAGCAGAUCUCUAGACAGAUGGAUCUUAUAUGAAUCGUAUGAUGAAGUACCACAUGAGUGGAUAUAUAGGAAAGGAAUCCAAAUCUGCCGAAUCGCUCAUGUUAUGAUCUUCUACAUCCAAGGUCUCCGCGUAUCUAUAGCACUAUUCCUCAAUCCACCCGAAGUUAGAGCUAGGCUCAUCGGGCUCGCUUCUCAAUACAAUGCCUUUACCACUGAUUGUUAAUAGAGGCUUCUCAGAAGAAGAACAACAAAAAGUUGUUUCGAAAAAUUCAAGUACCGGCCACACUUCAGUAUCCAUAGAUAUAGAUAGGGCGGAGGCCUUACUACACGAGCUCGUAAGUCAAGCACGGAACGAGCCUUGUCUACGAAGCUUCGCUUCAUCAUCUUGCUUGCUUCUGGCGAAGCUUAACGCACUAUAGUCAGUGAUCUUUUCCAAGGUGUCUAGAGAAACCUGCUUUGAAAAUGUCAUUCGUACCCAAGGAAAGUUUUGGCAGGCAUUACUGUGAUCUUGAAGCCCUUGCUAGGAGCUAGUCGGUACGGCUCACUACUAAAGAAGGUUCUGGCAUGCUUCGAACCGUCUACUUUUCCUUAUCCUUAUGGGAAUUUAAGAGAGAGAUCACUCCACUGAGUAACCGAGAGAGAAGAUUCAGGCAAGUAUGCCGUGCCCUAUUUAAAAUAGAGGCAACGAACGGAGCGUCCCAUCGACUUUACUUUGGCCAAUGAGACUACUAUACGCGUUUUCCGAGGAGCAACAUGAUACUUUCUUUUCCGAGACAACAGAGUUUAGAAAGAUGGAAGCAAAUCAAAGCUAAGGGAAUCUUACUCGACCGAGAGGAAGCGAAGCGCAGACUGGAAAGCAGGAGUUCAGUGAAGUAUGCCUUAGCUAGUUCAAAUACAAAUCUCCCUUUUCUUCAUUUUUGCAUUUCUUAUUCCGCUAUUCCGAAUAUCGCAAAAAUAAAUUAGACAAUAAAUAGAGAAAAGUGCUCACCCCUCCUUUCUCAGUGAGAAGAAUAUUCCCACAUAUACAUGCGGAAGUCGGUCGAGAGCACAGAGCCGGCAGGAGUACUUUGCAAGUGCACCAAUGCCAAAGCUGGACCUUCCUGUUUUUGCUGGUAGCAACCCAGGUGUACCAGGUUUGGGUCAUCGAUAUGGAAGCAGCUAGCUCACUUUCGUUAAAAGCAAAGAUGAUUAUCCACCGUUAGUUAGUAAUGUGGGUUGGCUUGGAUUACUUAGUGUUGCGCGCCUAGGAGGGCAGCGCGCUUGGGGUGCGGAGGAGCUAUUAUCGCCCAGCUCCCUAACCUAAUGCGGCGCGGAUAAUGGUUUGGUAUGUAAGUACUAUAGUUUGGUAGGUUUGAAUUGUGUGGCCAGGGGUAUUGGUUACGAUUCCAGUGGUCUUCAGGCGAGUUGACAAAACUACCCCUAUGCGCAAAAAAUGAAGCUGAUGUGGUUGUUUUGAAUCCAAGAGUGGUGAGUCCAAUCUGUAACUCCAAUUUCCAAUACUGAAAAGCCAAGCCUACUAUUCUUUUUACCGGCGCUUCACGACUUACCACAAAACUAGAGCCGGCGGCAUAAGAUGAAGCCCUAGACAUUCUGCCUGUCUGCUUAGACUCUUUCUAAGUAAGAGAGAGCUCGUUCUAGCUUUGUCAAUCGUGGAAUGAGCAGCUCCAUCCUUACUGUCCUGGUGAAUUAAUUGGGUAAUUAAUGAGCACACUGACUCGGACGGAUUUCAAAUUCCUUUUUCCUUCCUUUUUACGCCACCUCCACCCAAUCCUUGAAGAUAUGAAGCAAUCUUUUAUUAAGACUAAGUGAAGGUUGGUAUGGCCCAAUCCGGAAUCUCGAUCAGAAACCACCAGGCCAUGUCUCCCGAUAAAAGAUGAUCCCCACAAUGGAUGUCAGGCCUUGGCUUCAUAAAAUCUGAUUGGAUCCGCACUAGAGGAUAAGAAUAUAGAUAGGCUGACUAAGAAGAUCUUAAAAUUGUCUUACCUGAAAAGAUGAGUUAUUCAAAGGAAUACCUGAAGAAUAGAAUAAACACAUGGCACAGCGGGCGGGGGACUUGAAAUCCUCUUUAGCUUUGCGCGUUGGACUCUAAAUCCUAACAGAGUGGUUCGAUUCCACCUCAGAACGACCUUCACGAAAGUGAAAAAUCUUCGUCCUACCAAAACUGGAUCUUGAAAAGUGUUCAGUGCCCAACAAGCAACGGGUUGAGCGCACUAGCGCGAAAGCGUUAGCACGCGCAUCCGUUUUCUUGCUUGCCUUGCGAAUUUGCAAAGGACUAACGAGAUUGUUUCUAUCGCCAAGAUGAGCCGCUUCGGGCUCAGGAGACUAUGGUGGUCUAUGAUCUAAUAACUGGUGGUGAGACUGCGGCUCAAGUCCACGUCGUGAGAAAGACUGAGCUAUUCUGUACUUUUCUAACCCUUUGAAGGAUGAAGAUGGCGAAGGAGUAUUGAAAAGAAUGAAUCCGGGUUUUAGCGCUCCUUGAAUCUGGCCUAUACGUAGUGUAAGCCGCCUGCGGCUGCUAAAGGCAAGGUAUGAGGGUGAAAGUAAGCGAAGCCGAAGAUGUGUAUGGUGAGUCGAUACUAAAGCAAUCCCGGAAUUUUUCAUUGGAUGGCAGUAAAGAGUCUCCUUCCCGAACCUGAUAUGCGAACAAACAGGGUUAGCGGAAACAGGAAAUGUAGUAAUUCGAGUAAGUCCAACCUUCAAGGAAGAAGGAAGGCAAUCCGUCGCUUGUUCGUUGCAAGUUCUUAUUGCUCCGGAUCCCCGUUUACUAGGAAGAUAAGAAUCAAAAGGAUCGAACUACCUACUCAUUAUUCGGAGAUGAAUCAUAGAACACUAAUCCUGCUUUUAGUACAUUGCUUUUCGUAUCAUCUAUGAGAAUUCUCGUUUCAGAAACUCCUCAAUAUUGUCGUUAUGGCAAUUCUAACCAUGUAGAUUUUAUUACCAAAUUGUAGUUUUUUCUUUUGCCAAUUCCACGCCUCUGUAAAAAAAUGCCUAAAAGGGAGGGCGAGAGUUGAAGUGGAUGGCCCUUCUAUCACCUGAAAGGCUGAAACUCAGGCAUGGCUUUACAUGGCACACAUGCUUUCUUUCAGGCUGUUUUGGCUCGCAAUAAAGCUAGGGUCCUGAUCGAGCAAGACUGCCCCUGUCGGUCCCGAUCAGUCCCAUUGACCGUGAAGCCUGCUCUCGAUUUGUAGUCCCCGUGCAUGAAGUCAGUGGAUUCGAGUGAACUGACCGUACUACAAAUCGACAUACUUGAGAAAGCUUCUUACUAAACCAAAGAAAGGGCAGCUCCAGUUGUGUUGUCGAUUCCCUUCUCCCGAGAGCUUUCACACUCUGGGAUGGGAGUCCCUUCCAAGACUUGACCAAAAGCUUAUCUCUUGAAUCCCAGAGAUAAGAGCGACAACCAGGCGUACCUCAUCUUUCCCUAUUGAAGCAAAACCAGUGGUUUCUUGGUCACGACCAGCUAAAACAAAAGUUCCAUUAAAGAGAGUUUCCACGUGGUAGUAAUAGACGACCAUUUCGCGCGGUUCGGGGGCACUUGAAUAAGCCGCCGGCCCCCGGCUGCGUCUUUACCCCUAUCCAAUUUUCCUCCCAAUCGAAUUGUUAAGUAUGUUUUUUCCCUUUCGAGAAAUGGUGGCAGUACCAAAUGCCGAAUUAGCGGCUGUACCAAAUGAUCCUGGAUAGAGUCUCGCUCAUAAAGGAAGAGGAGCGCGCUAGCGCGGCUCGCUUCGCUUUUCGACGCGGAGCUCGCUGCUGUUGAAGCCUGCUUCUGGUUCUGAAUCACAAGCAAGCCUAAUAAGAGUUUCUUUUCAUCUUACAUGAGUUGGCAAGGAGUUGUUCUUGGCAGAUCUCUCCCCUGCUUUAUUGCGAGCCUUGACAGGUUACAUUGGCAGAAAUAUGGAAACUUCUCUUGGCAGGUUAUAUGGAAACUUCUCUUGGCAUAUGACUUCCAUCUUUCUAUGGAUUUUCUGGUUCUGAAUCACAAGAACCUCAUCCCGGCAGCGAGACUGCGUUCACUCGAAACAAAAAUAGACGAGUACUAUGGUAGGAACGCUUCAACUGCAGAGCCCUGAAUGCGUUAGUGAGGUUCCCUCUAUGAGAGAAAGAGAGGUUGGUGAACCGGCGGAUCCGUUUGCAACUCCUCUGGAAAUAUUACCCGAGUGGUACUUCUUUCCCGUGUUUCAAAUACUCCGUACAGUACCUAAUAAGUUAUUGGGCAUUCUCUUAAUGGUUUCUGUGCCGACGGGCUUAUUGACAGUACCUUUUCUAGAGAAUGUCAAUAAAUUCCAAAAUCCGUUUUUCAACUGGCUCUAAUGCAAAUUUAUAAAAUAAAGAAGAGUUCCGUCAAGCGUCGUAUUAGCUUUGUUUGUUCAGAGCUAUGUACCAUGAUCUUCCCUUCCCCCGGCACAAUGUUUGAUGCUUCUUGGGGCUUCUUUGGCGACCGUGAAGUCACCGGAUGAAUUGCCGAGUAGAUAGAUCAGAUCCGGAUGCUGCAGUUGUUCCGCGGUGAUACGGACUCGACCCGCGGACGACAAUAGUCUUUCUCUUUUUUCACUCGAGCCAUACCGAUGCUUUGGACUCCUUGAUGCCAAGGGAGGUUUAUGAGUUGUAUCCUCCUUACGAGAUAGCGGAAGUAGCAUUAGCAGGAAAAGUAAGCUCCUUUUCAAGCCUUCUCUUUCGUAACCUUUGAUUAGUUCCUUGGAUGCCCUUAGCAAGAAUGAUGCAGGAGCAAUACCAAAGUGUUUCAAUGAAGGAUUACCUUGACUUAGGUCUGCCUCCGGCCUAAAUUAAAUCAACCUAAGUUAAAUGGAGUCUCUAUCGUUCUGCUGCAAGAGUGGAAUAUGAGACUUCAUACACCUUAAAGUUUAUAGAACGAAAAGAAUUUUUUUGGAGGUCCUCAUUACGCCUAGCAUUUAGUGGGCUGGAUAUUUACCUUUGAAACUAGCAAAUCAAUAAGGGUUCUAUUUGAUUAGGCACCUGAAUCGGACUGAACCUGGAUCCAAUUUUAAGGACAAAUCCUGAUGUUGGUAAAAUAUACGUGUAGAUCAAGGCCAAGGACAAUGAAGCAGCCCUCCCCUUGUAGCUGGGGUAGACUGGUAGUAGUUUCACCUAUAAAAUUUUGCAUUUGUGGAAUGUAGGUUGGAACUACCUGUUCCGGGAUUGUAGAAAGGAAGGGCUCCACAGUUGAAACUACCUGUUCUGGCAUUUCCGAAAGGAAAGGCAGGACAGCUAAAAAUAAUUCGCUGUCAGCCGCAGUAUAGAUACUUCGAGUUUUGGUAACUCUGGAAGUAGCGCUACAGAUUGAAGUUUUUCUGCACCCGAUUAUCAGUUCUCGUCGACCACCGUGACGUCACCUAGCUUUAUUCUAAAUUUAUCAUUCUAUCGGUAUGUAUAGUGUCUUUCAUCUGCUUUUUCAUUCAUUCUGCCCACAGCCCUCCACAAACUUUGGUAACUCCAACUUCAACCUCGAUUUUAUUAAUAACUACUUACGAGACCUUCUUUGGUACAUAUCCCUUAUCUCAAGUUUUUGAUCAAACCAAUCCAUUGACACAAACGUAUGCUGCCUUGCCUGAUCUUACUAGAGUGAGUUUCCUUCGCUAACGAGAUGAUGCAUAUUCUCACUCUGGACUAUUCCCAGAUUUACAACCAACAACUAGUCUUAUCUCAUGGGCGUAAAAAGACAUCAUAGAUAACAACUAAUUCUCAUAAAGUUCUUUCGGUUCAAGGGAGGGUUACUUACAAGUGGAGUCUGGCGAGGAUCUUUUGUUUCCUUAAGAACAAUCCUAAUCACAUAUCCAAACCAAAGAAGAUGAUAUUUAUUUGAUAAAGCGCAUUCUAUUAUCGUAUUGCGACACUGCUCCUAUCCCUAACGCUAGCUCUGUUGACUUCAUUCCUUGUCGGUCUAUGGCACUCAUUUAGAUCAAUAAAAGGCCGCUUUACAACCAGGGCGGGUCUCGCUGCCGGAUCAAUGCGCAGGACGCACGAUCUACAAACAACAAUAGAGAGAGCCAACCAAGAACGAAAGAACCUGGAAACAAACCCGCGAGCGAAUACCAAACAGAGUAAGAAGGAGGAAGGGCCGAAGGCGUUGGCAUCCAACAAUGUUGGAUGAGUGGAACAGAAAGGAAUGGCACGGAAAGGGUUUUAGGGAACUAGAAUAAAGAUAAUUAGUUUUCAUAUUUUUCAAUAUAAAUAUGAAUUUAUUACGAAUAGGAAUUAUGAAUUGGUACUAUUAGUAGGGAAGGAAGGGCUUCCUCCCCUCUUCUUCCAAAGCAUACGGCUUUCUAGAUGUAUAUGACGAUCUCUAGACAGAUGGAUCUUAUAUGAAUCGUAUGAUGAAGUACCACAUGAGUGGAGGGAAGGUAUAGUUGAAGGUAUGAGGAUGAGGAUUAGAAUUUCAUUCCAUUGCUUUGUUAGAGGGAGAGGAAGCUUCGAUUGGGGGAUACAAUAAUUCCAAUCUUCUGCACGAUCCUUUGGAGCCGGGGGUUGGAUAAAACACAGAACUAAAUCGACUUCCUUACCAGCAUGUCUGGGAUUCCUGUGGUUCUUACUGCCCCGGUGAAUGUGUAGGUACGAAUGACUAUCAAAGAAAGUGAGACCUGGAAUUCCUCCUUCUAUGCCUCCUCAUCUGUCUCGCCUGCAAAUCCUGCUAACAGCCUAGUCUAUUAGGAAACAGCUGAUUCAAUUGCUAAAACUGCUGUUUGAGAAGGGACUAACGGCACUGGCUCUUUCAAGUCUUUCGUGCGGGUAUACGUUGAGCUAGUCCUCUUACUCCUUUUCUUAGCUCUUUUAGAAAAAAUCUUAUUUUUCAUCGUGUCAGGUCUUGGAUGUAGACUCGGCUAUGGUAGGAUCGACCUAAUUGUGAUCAUUCUCCGCUUCGUUCGCUGAUCUCUUGCUAUUGCUGCAGUCCAUGGUCCGGUAUGGAAUGAACUUAUAAUCUGAUGAUCGAGUCGAUUCCAUGAUUAUAAGUUCAUUACCCUAGCGCCCAUUCCCAUUUUGGGCUGUUACGCCAGAAAUCCAAGGUUCCACACGAGCUCCUGUUCUGCGGCGUGGUGGCAGGACCGCUAGGGGAUUGGCUCCGGGUGUAGGUAGGGUCAAAUCCGCAGGGGUCAUGCAAAUACAUAGGCCCCUUCCCUUCUGCCGAGUUGUUUAGAAGGCGCUUUCCGUUCUACGGUCCCUCGGAGCGAAGGGUUAGGCAGGUAGUACGGGCCCUCUGACUUCCAGCUAUGCGCUGUGUGCGACUCCCGCGAAGCGAAUGAAGGGAAGCUCUUCGAGCUUUCUCCGCCUACUGACUCACUUUUAGGACAUAUUUGUACAUCUUUUGUCUCUAUCCUAGUCAACUGGUACGCAUGGCGUAAAUAAAGAUGACCCGACCACCCCUGUUCACCUUCCUCAAACCCAAUUCAAAUGAUGGCUGUGAAAGUCAGAAUCCUGAUGUCUCCAUUGACAAUAUCGACACCAAACCUUCUCGUAAUUCACAAUGCCAGAAUUUGGCUUAGCUGGAUUUGCGGAUGGCGGGGAAUUCAUUGACUAACUUGGCCUUGAUUGAUGAUCCAUCAACUCGUGGCUUUACAUUGAGAACAAAGCUUUGCUGACCCUUGCUAGGCUCAAGUCAAUUUAUCAAGUUUAGGCAUUUCGAUUUGGAUUUAAAAUAAAACCUUCAAGACAGAAAAAGACUCCCUUUUCUUCCUAUUGAUCUUGACGUCGGAAAUGGUUGGUUUUAAUGCUCGCACAGACGAAAUAGAACACCGGAUUGGACCUUAGCCGCUCGGGAAUAGAAUCCUUCACCACCCCAUUGGAAAAGUUGAUCUUCUAAAUUCAUAUGUUUAGCCUAAAGUACAUAACUUGUGUUCCUCCCUAGUUCUUGCCAUGCCACCUAAUCAAGCCUCACCUCAUUUGUAGUUAUAACAUGUUCAGCUGAAAGCAAACUAAAAAAAAAAGGCACUCCUCAGCGAGGACGCGGGUUUUAAAGUAGGUUCUACACAUUCGAGAAGACCCAGGCGGAUUGGAGUGGUUGUGCGCCGGGGCAAUCUCUGCUUGCGUUUUCCAAUAAGUUCUAUUGCUUUGACACAUUUAGUAUAUAACUGAAUAGAAAACGGAAUAAAAGCGGAUAAGAUAGCGUAUUAGGCCGACAAGUAGGAAGCAUAGCGGGGACAAGUUAUUACCGGUUUGAGGGGACAAUGGUUUUCUAGGUUGUUUCACCAAUCUGUUGAAUUGGAAUGGAGCUCACGACCGUGAAACCCCUCGUUGUUUGAUGGCACCUAUCUUGUUCCCUUCAGGGAGAAAUACUACUCACUUUUCCUCUAUCAAAAAGCCAAUACCGACGCUCGCUUAUCAGCUUACCAGUUCAAACCUCCUUGCUCUGCCUUUUAUACCAGAUGCCUCCUCUCUUAAACCAAGGCAUACUCUACUGGCUUUCCUUCUCUAAACUAUUCUUUAUCUGCUAUCUAUGCUAUUCCAUGCAUACUUGAGCUACAGCCUUUUUCAACCUUUUGAACUGAUUCCGUAUCUAGUUUGUGUCUUAUUAUUAAACUAUUUUAUUUGGUGUGGUGGAGAAGAAAAAUGAAACCGCGCGAUUGAAUCCACAAUUUGACUGAGGACAAGACGCGCUGCUAAUGCUAGUUUCAGUAAGCCUGUCUCUUCUAGAGGAAAGCAAAGCUGGUAAGAAGAGCUCCUAUUUUCAUACUCUAAGCUUGGAUAAUCCGCAUCAAGAAGAUUCGAACCCCUGCUAGAGCCAAAGUAAUGAGAAAAUGACUUGUCACUGUGAAGCUAAAGGGUAUCAUACCCUGGGGAUUACAAAAUAACGAAAAAGUAAAAGUGACCGAGAUGCGAGGGAAAAACUUUUGUUUAACAUUUCCACCUAUUUGUUCGUUUACCAGGUUCAGCACGAAAUCAUAAAUAAGCUCUACCAAGGAUUGCCAUGCAUUUGGCACUGACUUUCCCCCGCCCUUUUUCGUAACAACUCCAAAUAAAGAUGGCACCAAAACGACAGUUACCGCCAUAGACAAGGAUUCAUUUGUGAAUGAUAAAUAAAAGUUACCCAUAUCAAGACCAAAUAAUGGAUCAAUGAAAAAUUGAUCCAAGGGGCUUGAAAUUACUGGUCCGCCGCCUCCAGGGAUAACUAUAUCGCCAUUCCUCCAUUCAGCCCGUCCCUUCCUUCCCGGAAAAAGGCUCUCUUGCAUCUUUUGCUUCCCCACCCGGCCUCUAUUCUAGAUUCACCGUCUUUGGAUGCAUCAGUUUAUUAUGCUUGGAAGCUGCUCGAUCACAAAUACCUAUUGCAUUCUUAGUUGAUUCCACGAUCCCAGGGGAAUCCCAUAAAAGAAUCACUUAUCCCAUCCCAGCGAAUGAUCCUAUACAGUUCGUAUAUCUAUUUCGUCAUUCGGUCACGAAAACAGGGAUUCUGGAACGUAAAUCUGCGAUCACGAAAACAGGGAUUCUGGAAUGUAAAUCUGUGCACGAACCCAUGCAAACAGGCUUAAAAGCAGUGGAUAGCCUGGUUCCUAUAGGCCGUGGUCGACGAGAACUUAUAAUCGGGGGCAGAAAAACUUCAAUCUGUAGCGCUACUUCCAGAGUUACCAAAACUCAAAGUAUCCACAACUCGCGGAUAGAAUUGAUUGCCCGGAAUCACUUAUUGGUUGGUGGUUGGAGUGCAUUUCCUAUAUAUACCUUUUCAUUUCUUGGUUGAAUUCCACUGUUAAUCUGGUUUCGCAAUGGAGCUAGAAAGAUUGGUCAACUACUUCUUAAACCCAAGCAAGCUGGGAGCUCCUGAUAAUCCCUUUUUGGAAAGGAACGCGUCCACCGUACUGGCUAUUUUCAUUUCGUGUAUAACGUAUCUAUCGGCAUGGCGUCGGGCAGGAUGGGAGUUAAUUAGGGUCGAGGGAGCAGGAAAGAGUUUGUUAUUCGCUAUUGGCUUAGUACGGCCUAUACAUAAUAGGGCCAUGACGGUUUUGGCAAGGCCUUGAACUUCAUAUAUCCCUUUUUUACUCAAUCAAGAAUACCGAUAAAGUCAGAUUGAAUCAUUUUUUUGAGCAAGAAAACGGAUGCGCGUGCUAACACUUUCGCGCUAGUGCGCUCAAUCCGUUGCUUGUUUGGGGACAGAAAAAGUUCCGUAAUUGUCCUAUUUUUUCGUUGCAUUUCCUUGUUUUUAACGGAAGCGAGAAAUGCGUAAUUAAUAUAUAGAUGUGAUGAUUCCAUGAAUCUCUGAAAAGGUAGGGGUCAAGGACCUUAUGGGACUGCAAUCGUGCCUGCCAAUUGGGGAAGGACGUGGGCCUGGCAACUGCUCGGCUCUAGUAAGGGAAACAGGUAUGUCUCACAUCAUUGCUCGAAGACUGGAAAAACUGCAAGUUAGCUCAGUUGGUUUAAAACGGCAUAUGUGAGUGACGCGAACUAGCAUUUUGAAUUGAGAAAGCCGGUAGCCGGGGUGUUCGCCCUUGGUCUACGCGGAUCAGGGGCCCAGCUAACGCGUGAAACACUCCGCCUGGGGAGUACGGUCGCAAGACCGAAACUCAAAGGAAUUGACGGGGGCCUGCAAUACUGGACAUUUGGUGAAGGCCGGAUGGGGAUAGCGCUCACCUGAUACUUGGACUCGAAGGGGAGCAGGUCGUGUCUCAAUAUCUUCAGGAGAGGGGAGGGCGUCGCGUAGGCAUAGUUCCAAUGGUAAGCUGAUUCCAGGUACGCCCGUUCCUCUACAUCGUUUGACUAUCAAAGUCAGGUCAAAUGUAGGUGAGUGUUGCGACUCAGUAGCCUACCAUCCAUAUAUAGGGAAUCCAUACCGUCGGCUUGUCGAUCCGGGAUCGCCCAGGAUCGGGUGGAAGGUCGGAGAAGCCAGUCUUCAGUGGUGCUUCCAUGGCAGUUGGAUAGUAGAUCAGAGAGGUAACUCUCGGGUGAGGCAAGGCAUAUUGAGAUUUCAGAGCCCACUUUAUUAAAAACUUCGAUUUGAAGCCGAGAACCCACCUGAAAACAAUCAUUUGACUAAAGAUCCGGUUUUGGUAGGACGAAGAUUUUUCACUUUCGUGAAGGUCGUUCUGAGGUGGAAUCGAACCACUCUGUUAGGAUUUAGAGUCCAACGCGCAAAGCUAAAGAGGAAUCUACCAGUUUUGCAUGAAGAUUCCGGACCUACCGAAUACCUUUUUUAAAAAAGGAUGGCUCAAGUAGCCGCUCUGGAUCUUGCUCGAUCUUCCUUGGCUUCCGUGCUCUUUGACACAACCAUCUUCAGUCUACCGCUCAUGUUCGACGCUAUUAUGGACCGAGAAGAGGAAUCAACGAAAAACCCAGGAAAGAGCUGCGAAAGAAAAGCGUGACGAGCAAAGUCAAGUCUCCUCUAUCAUUAGAAAGUAGCCGAUGGGAGGUUUGAUCUUUCGCCGCUACGGUCACAUCAAUACAACCCAUUGGCAGGUUUGGUAUGUGUAUUCACGAGAGCUCUGCUUCGCUCUAUUCCACCUCCCGGGUGUAUGGAAAAAUCUUUAAAAGAAAUAAAUCAUGCGGUACUUCUUGUUUUAAUCACUCUUCCUUUCCUCCCGGAACUGGGGAAGAACCCUUCUGAAAAGGAAUGGAGGUAUAUCUUUACUCGGAGUGCAACGCAGAGAUAGAGAUCGAAGAGCCGAUAUUUCGUAUGUAGUGGCCAACUACCACACCUAAUUGGUGUUAUGAUUGGUUAAGAUGAAUGAGAAUACAACCAAAUAAAGGUUGUUAAUCCACCUUCAAUAGGGAAAGAAUGACAGGAUAUAAUAAUAUUGCGGAGUCCCUAAAUCGCAGGGAAGCACUAAGAAACAACAUGCCAUUUGAAGCACUCGGAUGCCCAACCACAGCUAUCACAAUCACCCCCCGGAAGGGGGCCUUCUUCGCCUUCCACCUAAGCUGCGCAGGAAUCGCAACCUUUCAGCAUUCAAAUUAUCCACAGAGCUGGAAAAAUCACUCUGCCCUUACAGUUCAAAGCCCUAACCAAGUUCAUUUAGAGUAUGGGGGUUCUUUACAGAGUGGCUUACUCUUCAGAAGGGCUAGACCCUGGGACUCCGCUUUGUUGCUAGCUUUUCGUUGCCUCUCUGAUCUACUAUCCAACUGCCAUGGAAGCACCACUGAAGACUGGCUUCUCCGACCUUCCACCUGAUCCUGGGCGUUCCCGGAUCGACAAGCCGACGGAAUCUACUAUGCGCGAUACGCUGACGACAUUUUGUUUGGGAUUCCCCGGGCCAAAGAGAUAUACCUGUUCCAUUCCAAGUGAAAGACCAGCAGCUUUUAUCUCUAAAUAAUAGCUAGGCAUCAGUUUGAGUUCGAGAUUGAAAAGUCCUCUCAAGUUGACUUUUUAUGGAAAAAUGGGUUCGAUUCCACCUCAGAACGACCUUCACGAAAGUGAAAAAUCUUCGUCCUACCAAAACCGGAUCUUGAAAAGUGUUCAGUGCCCAACACAUCGGUGAAACCGGGGAGAGCUGAAGAGAAGGGAAACCCCAGAGGCAUUGAUCAUUUGGUCACGUUUGUGAUCUCGUAUAUUUCGCUUCUCCGACAUCUUACUUAGUUUCCCCCUCAUCUUUUAGCAAAAAGCCACUCCACAGUAGUAAAGUCUCAUCUUUUGUAUUGGCCGAAGUGACAAUAGUCACAUUGAACCCUCGAAUAUGCUCGAAGAUCUCGAAAUGAUCUUCCAGUUCCGGGGAGAAUUCACAAAACUACUUCCUCUAAUAAAGGAGGAAAGGAGAGAUUUUCAUUAAACCAAAAGCCAACCAAAGAACCGGAACCGAUACAGUCGACUGGUCCAUAGAAUAGAGAUAAAAGCAUUACCACAGGCUCAUUCAUCGAAAAUCAUAGAGACUAUUAAGUAAAGGAUAGAGCAAUUCCUUUUUUUCAAAUAGGAAAGUGGAGGGUUCAAAAACGUUGGUUUCUUGUAGCAAACUUUUAUGUGCUUGUACCUGUCAAUGUAUUGGUAACCCGUGUCCAUGAGGGCACUUAACAAACUAAGUUUGAAUAGAUUACUAAGAAAUAACCGUAGAAGAAAAAGAAAGGAGGUUGCUACAAUUGUGGCAAACCUGGGGCACCCAUGCCGUUCAUUUACCAACGAACUCUAUUUUGCAUAUUUCAUUCUCACGUGCUUAAAUCCUACUCAAGGCUCACUACGGGUAGCGAGCAAUUAACAAAUAGAGACGAGGAUGAGGAGAAAUGACGCAUAUACGGCCGGCCUGGGUCACUCAUGAUGUUGAUAGUUCAAGUGAAUUGUCGUAGUGUAAGGAAGAUUGAUUGGUUUUCUGAUUGCUACUUGGCUGGCAUAAGAAAGAAGGCGCCCCGGCAGGAAUUCUGUAAGCUUGACUUGCGCAUAGCGUUUGGGAAUCAAAGAUAAAAAAUAACUCUAUGGGACUUACGGAUCCAGGCUAGGGUUAGCAAGGAAUUGUUUGAGCUGAUUGAGGAUAUAGAGCUGAUGGAGCUACCUUUGCAAGGGCGCAAAUUCACUUGGAACAAUGCUGUGUCAGCUGCUAAGUUAGACAGAUUCCUUUUUACAAUAGACUGGGGAUUAAAUGUUGUAUACCCAUGCUGUGGUGACUGCCCUUCCUAGAUAUGGUUCAGACCAUGUUCCUUUGUUGCUGGAGUGUGAGACUGAAUCUUGAUUUGUCUAAUAACGGAUAUUGAACGGUAUUCAGCGAGGGCUGCUGUCAUUUCAUUUCUAUCACGUAAUGCAAGAGAGCCAGCAGUAUCCAAGUCGGCAGGGCGUUGAAUAAGCACUACUCUCCUAAUUUCUUAUUUUAACCCAUCCACAAAACAAAAGUAGUAGUGAAUAUUUCAGAGUCUAUAUCUGUGGUUCCAGAAGUGGAAUUGCUAUUCUCGAUUCAGACAAGACACUGAUUUGUUUACGAACCGCUCUUCAUUUUAUAGGAUCUCCCAUUCGUAAAAAAUGCCGUUCCUUCCUUUUAAAGACCAAUCAUUUAUUUCGAUGUGAGAUAUUGGCGGCCUUAUCAUAGUAGCCCUUCUUUCUUGCCAGCGAGAUAGUUACUACGAAGUCUGCGUUGUUGCCAAGACUUACUCAACUCACGACUUUCACCUGCUUCCGGUGACAACUACCACUCUCUUAUGAAUGGCAGUCACACGCGCGCAAACGAGCACCGGCCGCAACAGCAAGGAACUAUGACCAAUAGAGUCAGACACAGCGUCAUACUUCUUUAUCUUGUAAUGGUUGAGGAGUUUCUUUCUCAGAGGGUGCGGGACGCUUGCAGAGUCCGUGCCUUCCAUACCACCACAGGUCAUUCUUGGUCCUCGCGUGGUUGAAGGAGAUGCUGCUGCUGGAUGGAAUGCUUCCGUUCCGGGGCGCCAUGAUCCUUCUAUCAGGAAUAAUCGAGGGCACUGACUGACUGCAUCAAUCAUAGGUCCAGCCUACUACGAGGAUCGCGUAUCCCGUACAUCGUCUUUCUCCCUCCUGGGUUCCCGUGGUUCCUAUGCCGCCGCGUUUCCCGGUCCUUAGCGGACUUGGGAAACGGAAGAGAUCAAAAGCGAGAAGUGACUAGUUGGAAGUUCCUGAAAGCAGGGAAAGGCUCUCCGCCUUUACCUGCCCGUUCUUUCCUUGCCACCAUUGUGGUGCCGGUCUCACCCUCUCUGCUGAGGAAUCAAAGAUCCUCUUCUUCCUGUGUACCUCUAGUGACUCGACUCGUGUCUUGGAGGUCCAAAUGUUCCUAUUUGCCUUUGCAUUUUUGUGCCUCUAGAAGCCUAAAAAAGAAGCGAAAUAGAAAGAUCAAAAAUCAGUUACGAAAUGCAGUAAUUCUUCUUUUUUCUUCUAAUUGAUUGCAAUUAAACUCGGCUCAAUCUCUUUUUUCAGAUUGAGCCGAGUUUAAAUAGAUCUUUCUAUACUAUUAGGGAGUAGAGUGUAUGAAUCUCGUAGAUGGAACACCAAUUUCUUAUUCCCCCUUUUUUCCUCAAAAUUUCUAACUGGUAAAGCUUCUUGUUCCUCAUCAGCUGUUUGAUGGUGUACUCGACCAUAUGACUGAACAACAUGAUCUUGAGCUAUCAUUUGUUCAAUUUGGUCGAUCUGAUACUUAGUUAACUCAUUCAUCUUGAUGUUCCCACUGAUACCUAAUCGAUAACGAAGCUGAAUGGCUUUUUUCGGUCCAAUUCCAUCCAUUUUUGUUGAGGCAAUUCUGACUUGUUCAUCGGCAAGUGAUCUAGCUCCUGAGAUAUAUGACAUUCUUUAUCCUUCUCUUUUCCUGGUCUUCUCGGCUAGAAUCUACAAUGGACUACAGGUCCUUAUGAUGAGUGAGUGGGGGUUGCUCAAUUGACUACACUAUUGGUGCACUCUAUGCUAUCUCCUUUAUGAAUUUCUUCCUUUCUGAAAGUCACCACAGUGGAGAGUUACUAUCGACUUUCUCCAUGUGCCACUUCUAUAUGGGAAUGUGCUAGUAUGGAAAGCCGACGUUGAAGGUUCUAAUUGCUUUUCUGUUGCACUAUUGCUUAACUCCUCCUGUGGAUCUUCCUCAUCCUCACCAACCUCUUCUUCUUAACCCAAUAGCAUGUUUAGUUUGAUUUUACACUGAUGCCCAGGGUAGUAUUUAUCUCCACACUUCCCCCAAAAUCCACACUCCAAUGUGUGACCCCUUUAGUAGAGAGAAAAAGCAGGCGCACUUCGCACUUCAGAAAAUCGUAUAAAAAUGUGUGGUUCCAAAUGCGCUAACGCGCAACGGCUUUCGCGCUAGUUGCUCAAAAAAUCGUAUAAAAAUAAAGCAAUCAAAAGGUGAAGGCAGGGCAGUGGGCGUGGGACUGUAAAUCCUUUUUCAUUCGCUGGGCCUGGGCCCUUUGCACUCUAAAUCCAAACAGAGUGAGUGGUUCGAUUCCACUUUAGAACGAAAGCAAAUGCAAGUGAAACGAGACGAGAAUCAAAGAUUUUUCAGUGCCGCUAAAACCCCUAGUCACUGAUUACAUGCAUGAGUAUUGGCUUUGGCAAGCAAGUCAAGGAAAGAAGAGGAAAUUAAAAGUUCCCUGAGUUUGAUGGUACUAAGUUAGAUGUCACAAAUAGGAAUUCAUGGCCUACUGUAUGCAUGUAUGUGCUAAAAGAAGAUCAAAAACCGGGGAAUCACUUAAUAAGAAAUUCUAACUAUUGCUCGUAUGGCUAUGUUCUAUUUGUAGGAAUAAAAUAAGGAUUAGGCUGUGGAGAGAUGGCUGAGUGGUUGAUAGCUCCGGUCUUGAAAACCGGUAUAGUUCUACGAACUAUCGAGGGUUCGAAUCCCUCUCUCUCCUUUUGCUUUCCUCUCUCUUUUCUUUUGCGUAUUGAAUACGUUUGUUUCUUUAUUUGUUUUUUUUGUUCUGUCCCCUUAUCUUUCUUUCAUAGCCGCACCGGAUUGAGCUGUCCAAGAAGCUAGGUCUUUUUCGGGGAAAUAAGUUGUUUCUGCUACUGAACCAACUAGUCAAACUAGGCAUUCUCUUUCUUCUUUGAAUUCCGAUCGUCAUCCAACAUACCAGUAACAUGUGAUGAGAAAGUAAAUGAAGUAUAUUCUCAAAUCAAGUCAACAAGUCAAUAUGUAUGUGUCUCUAUUCUAAGAAAAAGAAGAAGGCACCACCACCGAGAACUGACUACACAACCGAGAAGCGUGUCAGCCUUCCUUAUUCAAUCAACUCUAAUUUAGUACUAGUACGAUCAAGAAAAGUAGGAAGUUGAACCAGACUUUAACAGUUUUUUAAGCAGGCAUUUUCAUGGUUCUCGUCAUAUAAACCAGUCUGUACUGCAUGAUUUCAUGCAUUAAUCUAUUGCUGAAGGAACCUUUCGUCAGUUUUCUUAAACAAAAGGUACCCGGUGUUCUAGCGGGGAAAUUCCAAUGAAUUUCGAUCACAAUCAUGUGGUAAUAAUGGGUUUGAAUCAGAGAGACUCGAUCUGGAAACUCCUCAAUGAUUAUAACGUGAACUCGUUGAAGAGGAGACAAGCAUAAAUAGACGCUUUUUUUGAACCAUUUGAGAGGGCGCAGUCCCCUACCUUACCGCUUGGCCAUGCCGCCAAAUCCGAUCUAAAAUCGAGAAAAAUCCUGGAAUGUGGACUUCAUUGACCAGCCGCCUCUUAGUCCACACCCAACUUGGAAGUGUUAUUGAUUCGUUAGUCACCUUCGCCAUCCUAAUACCCGAAACUGUAGUGUUCUAAGUUGGUUAAAGCCGUCCAUGGAAGAUUGGAUUUGCUGAUAAGGAGGUCGCACCAAUAUUGUCACACCACAAGGCCCUCUGUCCCACACAUCUAUCAAGAAGCAAGUGUAGUUCACCGGUUCCACCAAAUGCUCCUAUCUCUCGGCAAAGAUUGUGUGAGUGUGCAGUUAUGCUUCGGAUGCUUCGCCAUGGAAUAGAUCGACUCAGUUCCCCUUCUUUUCCGGUGCACUCGCUUUGCAUCUCCGACACACAAGGAAGGACGCGGUGGGAAGAAAGCUGCCCUAGCCUCUGUCCGGUCGAUCAUUCCGCUGGCAUCUUGCAUUCACGCCUCCGUUUGACUGCCGCUCGGGAAUGUAGUUGUAGAUACGUGAGUCUUAGUGGGUCGUUGGCGACUUAAGGAAGCUGACUCUCGUUCUUUGGACCCCACAGACCGAAAAGAAAAAAAGUUCGUCACUUUUUCUCUUUCACAUACACCGGGAGAAAGGGUGACGAUAGCAAUCCUCUUUGCCUCCCCGGCCGGGGAGCCCCCAGGACAAGGGGGGAACAUCCACAAUAGAUCCAGUGCGCUUGACAAGAUCUCCUUCUUUAAUAGCGGUAUCACUACCAAAGACAACAAUACCUACAUUCUCAUUCUCAAGAUUCAAGGCUAUUCCUUUCACACCGCUGGCAAAUUCCACCAUUUCUCCAGCUUGAAUCUCGUUCAAUCCAUAAACACGUGCAAUCCCAUCUCCAACUGAGACCAUUCUCCCCAUUUUUCAGACAUUUUCCUAUCAGUCUCACCGUCAAGAUCGCAGUUCACAAAGCACACCAACUAUAUGUGACCCCUAUACAGGAGCUAUGCCCAAAGAUGUCUGAAGCUUCGAAGAUGGUAGAAAGAUUUAUGCUGAACAGCCCAUAUCAAAAAGGCAAGGGAUUGGGCAAGAACUAGCAAGGAAUAUUCGCCCCUUGCUGCUUGCUGGUUUUUCCAUCAUCCAAUCCACAACAAAUCGAAUGAAACCGCUUCGGAUUUCUUUUGAUGUCCAAAGCCACACCUUCUUUCUCACAUAGGAACAGAGGUCAGGAGCUGCCGGCAGGGCGCUGCUUUUAAUCUGACUGAUGGCUCGCCGUGCCUAAGGGUAUAUCGGUUGAAGUAGAUUCUUCUUUUCUCUCAAAAAACCCCUUCCGAUGGUCAGAGGCGAAUUGAAAGCUAAGCAGUGGUAAUUAAGACCCCCGGGGGAAAAUAGGGAUGUCUCCUACGUUACCCAUAAUAUGUAGAAGUAUCGACAUAAUUUCAUAGAGUCAUUCGAUCUGAAUGCUACAUGAAGAACAUAAGCCAGAUGACGGACUCAUAAGAGGGGGAGCAGUAGCAAAAAUGAGAUCUUUCGUCUAGACAGAAGAGAGAUCCUUUCCUUCCUUUCUAUAGGAAAUGACUGAUGUUGCUAAGUUUUAGGAGUCUUUUCAAUCCAUCUUACUUUGAAUCCGGGCUCGCCUUCACUCAGUCAAGGGGUUGCCCUUUACCUCGUUCCGUGGUCCUUUAUCCCCUCCUUGCUGGCUUGCUUGAUAGGCUGGCGCAUAACCCCCAUUUCUUGACCCAGAUUCACAACCGAACCUAUUUCUCAUCUUCAUCCCGACCUAUCUAUAUGUGACACUCCGCCCGAAUGGCCUUUAUGCCCGAGAGUGAAAGGUGCUCCAGCUUGCUUGGUGAACACUGACUUACUGAAGACCGGAAUGGACCAAUGUGACAUUGACUCAAGAAGGUAGACAAAACAACCUACCUUUCACUAAGAAGCGGUACCAACCCUGGACUUCCCGGAAUCAAUGAAGGAGUUCAUUCAGCACUGAGCCGAGCGAGCGUAGAUUCAAUAUGUUGAUUGUACCGAACGAAGGAUUUGACUUAUCACGAAAGCCACAUUCGUUUCGUUUGAGGAAGUUACACGCCCUGUUCCCUAUAAAUAAGGAGAUUCAUUCUUUUUUUUUCAGAAAUCCCCUGUUCCUUGACUUCUUUGCUUUUUAUUUUGGAAGGGCUUCGUUUCCAGGCAGGUAACGUAUAGAAGACUGAAAGUUGAAGUUCCGGUGGGUCUCGUCAAUCGAUUACCUUCCUUAUUGCGCCUGCCCCUAAUUGGAGUUGAGUUGGCUUUGAUCGAUUGCUUGGUGUCACGCUAUUUACUACUACGGUUAGCUAAAUUCGUUUAUGACACCGAUUCAUUUCUAGUUGAUCCAUUCGUAAGGUCGUUCAGAAGCAAAGGCCUACUACUAUACUAUACAAGUAAGCUGGUCAAGUCAAAAGAAGGUUCACAUAACCAGGUGGCUGACGCAUAUAAACAUCUUCUUCAAGAACUCCAUGAAGAAAAGCAUUUUGAACAUCUAGCUGUCGCAAAGGACCCUGAAAAAGUUGUUGCAGCAACUCCAACGAGAAAGAAUAAGCACAAAAAAGUAGUAAGAGAUCGUUUGGGGACGAGCCUCCUACUCCUAGAAUGUAUUUUCCGACGAGUUUAGAUAUACUCUUGGAGAGACAAUAACAUGAUCACUUUUGGACACAAUUAUGUGUACUUCUGCUCUCCUUGGAUUAGAGAGACUGAUCAGCUAGCGUUAGGUGAGAUUCCUUUGAUUGAAUUUAGCUUGCCAUCAUGAUACGCUGCAGUUAGAUUAGGAACCGUAUAGGCGGCCUCAUAUACCCGGAAGCUUUGGAUUCACGGAUCCGAAACAAGACAUUUCAUGCCCAAGUACUCAUCACUUCUUGGGUCGUAAUUACUAUCUUGCUAGGUUCAGUUAUCAUAGCUGUUCGUAAUCCACAAACCAUCCCGACCGACGGUCAGAAUUUCUUCGAAUAUGUCCUUGAGUUCAUUCCACUAAAAUACCUUUGAAUAGCGCUGAAGAUAUCAUUGCGAACCGCGUCCAGUAGACGACCUCUUCCGCUCAUCCCCUUCGUCAGCUCUUUGAUAGGGAUACUAUAACAUAGGUCCCUAAACUUGGAAUGGAUGGCAAAAGGGAAGGAGGUCCUCAUACGGAGUCGCACACUUGAGUAGUGCGGGAGACUGGAGAAUGGGUCGAGUAAACUCAGGUUUUCACUUUUCAGUGAGUGAAAGAUUUGUAUCCGGGUCUACGUUCAAAGCUUCUACUGCACCUCUCGCCACUACUCCCUGUGUCAUCGGUUUGAUGCUCGGUCCCAAGCAUGAGUUUUGAAUUUGGCUUGGGACACCCCCUAGCGAAAUGACCGAGCCCACCACGAGAAAACCUACUGGGUUUUAGGGCGUUUUGACUGGUGGCGAAACCAAGUGAAUGAACUACUUAGCUCAUGUUCUUCAAAGUUUCGGGAUACUAGCCACCCCUCAUUGAGUAUGAUCUGAGAACCCGAUUACAUUAGCGCGAUAGUAUGUAGGGAUACAUUACUCCGACUAGGAUUCCGGGGUGGAUUGUUGGGAAACAACACUUCCAUCAGACAGAAGAGAGAUCCAUUCCUUCCUUUCUAUAGGAAAUGACUGAUGUUGUGUCACGCCCGGAAUUUCUAUCCAAAAUUCCAAACGCUUACAUGUGUGUGAACCCUCGUCCAGGAAUCAGCCGAGGCACACCAUAACAAAUUGAUAAUAGAGUACAAUUAUUACUCUAAUUAAUAAGCGAAUAAAAUGUCAUUACAGAGGUAGAUAGUUCCUCUCAAUCAAUAAAGAUCUAAGCAGCGGAAAAUAAAAUAAACGGCGCAGACGACUCCACUCCACAGGCAGCUUGACCAGGGCUACACCUAAUCCUCCACACCAUCAGCUUCACUGUAGAACUCUUCCUCUGAUGAAUGAUUGCAAGGUGAUUAUAUGACAUACUUAGCAAGUCACGCAGCAAAUAUGCAAGUGCACAGGAUAACAAAGGAUGGCAUAGUAUAAGGCUCAUUUGCAAAAACAGCAUUUAGCAAACAUUUGAGAAUUAUAAAACAGUUAAGUGAUAAUUAAACAAUAUUAAUCCAACUCUAUACAACAUACCCUGUUGCAUAGGCCCAACCAUUCUGAACAACCAUACCCGGCUGUACAGAUCUAUCUCCAAACCAGGAAUAUACCAUUCCAAACCAGGAGCUAACCAAAUUAUUAUCAGUUAUAACAUCUUCUAUUAUGAUGAGAGGUGUGAGACUAAUCACGAAAGACAUUGUUAGACCCGCCCAUAACCGCGGGCACGGCUAUUCGAAUAGUUUUACUCUGAUCAGAGGUGUACCACUGUACCCACAAGACACAGCUCCACAUCAUGUCACCAUGUGCCUCAAUACCACCACGGUACCUCGGAAAGGAGCUGUGACAGUACCUCUCGUACAACACAAUCCACCACAGUGCACCAUUCCUGGAUCAUAAUCACCCCCUUAUAAACAAGGCAUGGACUCCCCAGCGACCCCCGUGGGCUUAUCUCCGCCACUUCUCAGUCUGGUGCCCCGCAAUGAACCAUGGUAUACAAAAGAUAAAGCCGUUGCCCACGCUGGCUUGUGGUUGGCACGGUUAAUGUUUCACAACCGAAACUCGUGAACCGGUCCUUAAUUGUCAUGAGCACGACCAUCAAAACCAUGUGCUCACAACCCACCAUUAUCAGGUUUUAGUUGGCAAGUAAUUAAUUAACAAAUCAUGAUUGACCAUCGUGAACUAUCAUUAAGCCAUCAUUAAAUAAUAGUGAUUCAUAAGUUAUCCCAAUAGUGUGCUAAUGUUUCUAAGCAUGGCUAAGCAAUUAUAUCUAAUAUCUAGUUGAAGCAAUAUAUAUAGCCCAACUAGUCAAGUUAUAAUAACCCAGGGUAUCAAGGAAUAAAGUAAUCAAGGACAAAAAGGGCUAUAGCAAACAAUAGGUUAAUUCCACCCAAUGACAUUCGAAAAUAAAUGCAAUAGUUGAAUAGAAAUAGUAGCUUUAAACGGGAUCAACAUGCUCAAAGGGUUGUUUGGGAUCUGUGUGACUUGCCUUGCUGGCCUUGGAACUCUUCAAAUUCUUCUCGUGCGAAAACGGACUCUCCGGAAACGUCGGAAUCUAAACAGAAAAGAGCAAAAAUACCAAAACAGCACAUAAACAAGCAUGAACAGUACAUGUGGAUAUUUUUAACAUGUAGAUCUCAAUUUUAGAAAAAUUUAGAGACUUGAACCAACUAAAUCCGAGCUAGGAUGAAUUAGUUAUGAAUUUUCAAAGAUUAAAUCGGAUUAAAUCACUUAUAUGGAUUUUAAUUGAAUUAUGACGCAAUAAUGAAUUAUUUUUGAAAAGGAAAAAGGAAUUAUUGCGUCAGCGGCUAGGGUUUGCGGUGGACCGGGCGCACGGCGACGGUUCACGGGAACGGACGGCCGAGAUCGAUCCAUCCAAAACGGACGGCCGAGAUCGAACGGUCCACGACCGGCUCACGGCAGACGGCCACGAUGACGUCAGCGGUGACGUCAUCGAUGACGUCAGCACCGGCGGCGGCUCGGCGGCUCGGGCGCGCAAGCUUGCCGGCGAACGACGGCGCUUUGGCACGAACGAAGGACACCAGCACGAAGCGGGCGACGCGGCGAACUCACCGGUGACCAAUGCAACAGCGGAAGAUCAACAGACGGCGACGGCGACGAGGUUGAAGCGGCGGAGAAGAUCGGGUUGACGGCGGCGACGGUGCUCCGGUGGUCAACAGCGACUGCGAAGGGGAGGACGAGGACGGCGAUGCGAUGGCGACCACGAAGACGACCUUCCCGAGCGACGGCGACGACUGGAACGGUGGCAGCGCACGGCUGGAGCGACGUCGACGACGGCGGCGCAAGGUCUCACGGCGCUAGGGCUCUUCCGACGGCGAGAGACGAAAGCAAGGGUGGCGGCGGGUAGAGGAGACACCGGGGAUCCUUUUAAAGGGGCUAGGAGGCGGCGACGAAGGCCCACGGCGACCGGUGACGCGAAGGAAAGAUCGGGGCUCGGAGAGAGAGAGACCGAUCCGAAUCGACCUCGAAUCAAACACUUUCGAAGCGAUUUUAGCCGAUGAUUCCAAAAGAGAUAAGGUAGAGGAGAUCCCGAAGAUUGUUUCCCCUCAAACGAUUUCACCGGAUCGGGAAAGGAGCGGCCGGAUUUGGAAGGAAACGGCGGCGGCGCGGCGCUAGGGUUUCGGGCGGCGGCGACGCGAGGAAGACGACAGGUCCGACAGGUGGGACCCACCUGUCAGCGACCGAACGCGCGCGCGCGGCGCGGCGGACUGGGCCGACUUGGGCCAGGGAGAGAGAGAGAGGGUUUUGGGCCGACUUUCGGCCCAAAGCCAAAAGAGACUUUUAAAAACCUUUUCAAUUUAAAUUAUUCAUGAAAUGCAAUUCUAUUUAUUAAAAAUACUUCCUUAGUUCAAAUAAAUCCCAGAAAAAUCUAGGAAUUAUAGAAUUAAGCAAAGUAUUUAAUGAAAUUUUAUCUGACCCCAUUUUAUAUUAGAAUUUAUUAAUUAAAAUUAGAUCUUCUCUUCUAGGCUUUUUAAAAUAAAUUCUAAUAAUUCCAUUUAAACAACAAUUUAUAAGAUUUUUAGGGUGUGACAUGUUGCUAAGUCACCUUCCGCUGCUCUUGCGUCAUCCCUUUUCCAAUUCUUUUUGUAUGGCUCGGUUGCAUCCGAUUGAUCGAUCCCUAGUCACUGAUUACAUGCAUGAGUAUUGGCUUUGGCAAGCAAGUCAAGGAAAGAAGAGGAAAUAGUACUCGGGCAAUGCCUAUUGCUCUGUUGCCUAGAAGUCUCAUACAUAUGUAUAGAAUCUCAUCCAUAUUAUCUUAUAGGAAGAGUAGUAACUACCUGCAUUCGUAUAUUCCAAAAAAGAAGAAAGAAUUCAACCUAGUAGAGUAUAACUUUGCUUGCCUAGCCUUUCAAAGCUAUUGUUGAUUCUAGAAGGACCUUAGAGUAUUGUCACUGUUCCACUGGAAUAAAAAUAUUUGUCAGUUGGCUCUCCCCGAUCUGGAACAGUCCCGAAUACGUAAAAGUCUUUGCCCAAAAGGAUAAUCCUAGAAUCCCAUCUGUCUUCCGGAUUUGGAGAAGUGCCAAUUUUCAAGAAAGAACGCGAAUCUUAUGAUAUGGUGGGAAUCUCUUAUGAUAAUCAUCCACGCCUUAAACGUAUCCUAAUGCCUGAAAGUUGGAUAGGCUGGCCCUUACGUAAGGACUAUAUAACCCGGCAACCCCUGUCAAUGUAUGUUUGAUUUGGGAGGCUACCAAUUCUGGAAUUUCUUCUCGAGACAUCCCCGUCAGUCAACUUCUCUUCGGGAUGGGUCGUUGGUUUUUGUGGAGAUAAUGUGUCAGCCAUGGUAGAAGUAGCUCCCAUUUAUUGGCUGAUGCUGUGACCUAUGAGAGCCCAAAUUAUUUAUCAGAUGCGGAAAGCACAAAUUCUUUAGGACCAGUAACUGAUUUGGCGAGCCCCUUGGAUCACAUCAUUGUGAGCACAAAUUGCCAAAGCAAAAAGCACCUAAGUCCUUAAGGAUCACAACGGGCCACGCUGGUAAUAAUAUUGGGCUGAAGUACUGUACAGGCCUAGGCCCAUUAGCACUCCCGAUACCCUAACAAAACACCGAAGUCCAAGCGAUGCUUCGUCUUCCCCGCUGAAACUCUCGCCAUUUCCCCACUCCUUGCUACAGUACAAAGCCAUGCCGACGAAGCUAGGGUUCAUCAAUCCACCCCAAUCCGUUCUCAAAAAUCCACGAAACUUCUCUGUGCAUCCACUGCACCGAUUCCCCAUCCCCCUCCAGCUAUAUCUCAGACCGAAUCAGACCAUUCAGCUCGCAUCCAUGGCGGAAGAAAGAGAAAGUUUCGAGAGUCAGUGGGCGCCCUCCGACGUGAUAGAGGAGAAUCUGAAAGAAAUGGUGGUGCAUGGCAUUCUUCCGGCGAAGGAGAUCAUCGGGUGGCGACCGGCGUUCGGCGAAGCGUUCCCAACCCCUGAUACACACAAGGUCGUGGUAUUUUCUCACUUCUUUUAUGGCGGAUUUUCUCUUCCAACUUCAAGAUUCUUCCGAGGAAUUCUGAACUUUUAUGGAAUUAGCCUGCAUCAUCUGAAUCCGAACUCCAUAGUGCAUAUUGCCAAUUUCAUUCAAGCCUACGAAGCUUUUCUGGGCAUUAGGCCUCAUUUUGCUUUGUUCUGCCGCAUCUUCUUCCUCAAGCCCCAGCCGAACAAGAGCAAACCAUGUGUUGUUGGGGGCGCCGGUUUCCAACUCAAAGGAACACUGAGCCAAAAAUAUUUCUCCAUGCCCUUCAAGACCUCAAACAAAGGCUGGCACGCAAAUUGGUUUUACGUUCAAAAUCCUGAAACAGCACUCCCCGAGUACUCCUGUCUCCCUCCAGUCUAUCAGGAUACAUGGAAUUCAUUGCCUAUGGGAGAUGAAGCUGCUCAGGCAGUAGAACUGAUGGAGCGCAUGCUAAAGCUGAAGGAACAAGGUUUGCAGGGAGAACAGAUCACUCGGCACUUCAUCAAAAGUCGGUUAGCUCCAAUCAAAGAGAGAUCCCGCAUGGCUUUCGAGUUUGACGGCAAACAUGAUCCAAAUCGCGAAGGUCCAGACUCUCUUGACUUUAAGGUCAUGAAGGAAAGGAUGUACAAGAUCUUCUCAAAUACUAUCGUCGUCAGCUAUUCGCAUCUGCUGCCUGUUAUGCCAUACAAUGCAUUCAAUCCCCCUCCACCGGUAUGUGUUCAAACACUUCAACCUUCCUCAAAGUAUAAUCUUGUCUUCUUGUUGAAUCAGUUGACAGUAGAAGAUAUUAUGUCUAGGAAUUCGCUUUGAUGAAGUCGGACCCCCCAAUCGCUCAGCGCCGAUCACCUCGCCAUCAAACUGGUCAGGGGAGCGGGGGACCAAAGAUCCGGUCCGAAGCCCAGCCCAACACCUCUAAUCCAGCCGGCCAAUCGGAUUCCCGCAAGAGGAAGUUAGUGCUGAGUGACGACGAAGGCGACGACGCUAAAAAGCCUGGAGAUAGAGAAACAACUAGAAAACUACCGAAGCAGGCUAUUCCAAAGAAGAAAACAUCUAGUCGUCCUAUGCCGAAGAUCAGGAAGUCUUCCAGGUACAAAUCAUAUAACGAUCUUCCUUGUAUUGAUGCGCACCCAGUAUGGAAAUAAUACUGAUAACAAAAACUUGUAGGAAACCAUUUGAUAUAGAUCCUUCUGGAAAAGACUCUGAUCCGGCUAACAUGGAGACGAGUUCUUCCAAAGAAACCGGGCCGACUGCUAAAGAUCAUCCGAGUGAUAAUUAGCCAGCAACCGAUAAUGUAGGAUCCGGUGAUCAUCCCCCGACUGGAAACCAGUCGGCCGAAGCCGAAGCCGGAGUUAAUUAGGAGCCCCUGACUGGAAAUCAGUCAGACAUAGGGCCAACCCAAGAGAUUCCAGAAGUUAAGGCUCAGUCAGACAGCCCUCGCGGACAAGAUGCCAGCAAUGACCCGAGGCCUGGAUCUCCCGCUAAAGCAUAAGAAUCGACUCGUCCUCGUCCGGGAAUCAUCACAGGUAAACACUUUGCCUGAAACCAUGUUGAUCCAAGCGACUUUAAUUGAUUGUCUGACCUUUAUCCAUGGAUGCAUUAGGACCGAUGAUUGGUGAUGAAGAGGAAAUUCUCCGGAUACGAGCGGCUGAAGACUCGCGCCCUCCCAUUCUGGUCAAGUGGUGGGAUGACGACUUGCGACCUCAAGGAAUUGUGAUAAACCGGCAAAAAGAGGACGAAGAGGUGUGCCAACUGAAAAAGGCACUCGGUCAGGUGACUCGCAUUGUAAACGUAAGUUCCUUGACGCCGGACCUCAACCAUCUUGUUCGCCACCUAGCUCGAGCGCUAAUAAAACCAUUUUGCAAAGGAUUCACCUUAGGAAUAAAGCGAAGACCGCAACCCUAGAGCAGUUAGUUCCUCAUCUUGGAAACCUUGAAGCUGUCAGGGAUCAACUGCACGAGGCGAAAGAGCUUGCCAAGAAAACCGAGCACGAUCUAAGAGAUCGGAUUGCCCAGCUCCAGGAGUCUAACUUUGAACUAAGUGGCUCAUCAAAAGGUACACACAAAAUCUGUCCGACUAACUUGUGCUGUUGUCUUUGUAACUUUAAUUAACCGGAGUCAGUGCAGUACAAGCCGCCAAGAUGUCUCAAUUGGAGAAACAGAUUCAAACUCUAGAAAGCGAUAAAGCGGAGCUGGCAAGACAGAGGGACUCGGCUCUGAAGGAAGUUGAAGGUACCUUCAAUUGAUACUCCGAAAGCCAUUGCCUUCUGUACGUUGACUCAUUAAUAUGGAUCUGUUGGUGCAGACCGCAAGAUCAAGUCGCAAGCUCAAUUCGACGUCCUGGUUGGCAAAAUCAAAAGGCUUGAAGGGGCUAGGGAUGAAGUUGCUAACGCCGCUACUCCACUCGUCCAAGCAAUGUUCUUCAAUAACAAUGGUCCGAGUACAUUCGACGCUUCCGAGAUCUUCGACAAGCUGAGAGUUGCUCCGGAUACAUAUUUCAAGAACAUCAAAGAAGCUGGAAGUAUGGGAGCAAGUCUAGCGUUGGCGAUGACCAAAUCCCUUUACCCGAAAAUCGACAUUGAUGCCGUUGAUGGCUUUGUGAACGGGACGAGCGAAGAGGCUGCUCUCGAUCUUAUCAACGAUGCGCAGAAAGCCGCCGACAAGAUAGCAGUUGAUGUAGUAGAGAGAGUCCAGGACACCGAUCUUCAACCGACUGGUCCUGAUGGCUCUGAUGAUGAAAAGACUGAUACUGAUUGAUGUAACAAUGAUUUUGAUGAUUGAUGAUGGAGGCACAAUUUGUACAAUACUGAUAAAUUUAUGCUGUGCUUGGUGUUUCAUACUUAGCUUCUGAUUUCUUAAAAGCCUUUGUCAAGCCUUAUUGAGCCUAAAACCCGCAAAAGCUGUUAAAAAACUUUCAGUCCUCAUGGACUAAGUCGAAAAAUCAAGCAAGGCAAUGAUAAAUCAAGUAAGCAAAUUGAAUUGAUAAAAAUCACACUCCAUUAUUAUUAUAAUAGCCCCCGACUGAUAACUUCAAAGGGAAGCUUGAUGUUGUCAGUCAAGACAGGGAGAUACAGAAGCAAACUUAAGCAUAAAAACGACGAAGAUGUUCGAUAUUCCAAGAGUUGUCGAUAGGUGUACCGUCUUCACACUUGAGUCGAUAGGAACCUGGCCGAGUGACUUCAGAGAUUAUAAAUGGCCCUUCCCAUAAAGGGGAUAACUUGUGCCGAUCCCGUGUAGUUUGAAUUUUCCUCAAAACCAGGUCGCCGACUAAGAAAGCACGCGAUCAGACGUUACGAUUGUGAUAACGACGCAACCCUUGCAAGUAUCGGGCCGACUGAAUUAAGGCUGCUUCGCGGGCCUCUUCCAGUCGGUGUAGGUCAACCACUCGGUCUUCUCCGUAGCGCACUUCGCGAAAAUUGCGAAAACGCAAAGAUUCAAAUUCUACUUCACUAGGCAACAUUGCUUCUGCUCCAUAAACUAGGAAGAAUGGCGACUGGCCCGUAGCCCGACUGGGGGUGGUGCGCAAGGACCAAAGUACGGAUGGCAGCUGUUCCACCUAUUUGCUGGCGUAGGGAUUCAGUCGGUCAAAAACUCGUGCCUUUAUUCCUUGGAGUACCAUGCCGUUGGCUCGUUCGACUUGCCCAUUGCUCAUGGGAUGCGCUACGGAGGCAUAGCAAAUUUUGAUACCGAAGUCUUCACAAAAAUCUUUAAAUACUCCGCCGGUGAAUUGAGUGCCAUUAUCAGUGAUGAUCCGAUUAGGUACUCCAAACCGAUGCACAAUGUUGAUGAAAAAAUCUCUAGCUUUAUCUGCCGUGAUUGUGAUGACCGGUUUAGCUUCAAUCCACUUGGAGAAUUUGUCGAUGGCCACAAAGAGAUGUGUAUAACCGCUGACUGCCUUUUUGAACGGGCCGACCAUGUCAAGCCCCCAAACCGCAAACGGCCAGGACAGUGGGAUGGUUUGCAACUCUUGGGCUGGCAGAUGAGUUUGUCUGGCGAAAAAUUGACAACCUUCACACGUCCGCACAAUCUUGUCGGCAUAGGACACAGCAGUGGGCCAGAAAAAAUCUUGCUAGUAAGCCUUGCCGACAAUGGUGCGUGCAGCAGCGUGGUUGCCAUAGAUACCAAAAUGUAUGUCCUUCAGCAAUUGUCUCCCUUCUUCUAAGGAUACGCAACGUUGCAGAAUUCUUGAUGGACUUUUCUUGUACAGCUCGGUCUCAUGAAUAAUAUAAAGCCUGCUGCGCCUAGAAAUCUGCUCGGCUUCAUCUUUAUCUUGAGGGAGUUCUUGGGAGGUCAGAAAUCGUAUGAGGGGCUCUCUCCAGUUGGCUUCGACCAUAGCUAUGUCUUGAGUGUCCGCGGCUUCAGCUGUUUGUCUCUUGGGUAUGGUUGGCUCAUAAAGAUGUUCGACGAACACAUCAGAAGGGGCCGCUUCGUGUUUGGAUCCAAAAUUUGCUAGUCUGUCGGCUGCUUCGUUAUUGUGCCGAAGAACGUGGGUGAGUUCGAGUCCAUUGAACUUAUCCUCCAACUUGCGUACCUCUUGUCGAUAAGCGAUCAUAUUGUCAUCAAGGCAGGACCACUCUUUCAUAACUUGGUUAACAACUAACUGUGAAUCUCCGUGAACUAUCAGACGCCUGAUUCCCAAAGAGAUUGCGAUCCAUAGUCCGUGAAGGAGCGCCUCGUACUCUACCACGUUGUGAGAUGCAGAAAAAUGUAUCCAUAGCACAUAGCGCAGUCUUUCUCCAGUUGGGGAAAUUAAAACAACUCCGGCCGCAGUGCCCAAAAGUCUCUUUGACCUGUCAAAGUGCAUAGUCCAAUACUCCAUCUUUUCCUCGGGCGUGUCCUCUUGGCACUCGGUCCACUCGGCAACGAAGUCGGCUAAAGCUUGGGACUUGAUCGAAGUUCGCGGCUUGAACGAUAUGUCCAAGGACAUCAGUUCUAAGGCCCAUUUUGCGAUUCGCCCGUUUGCUUCACGAUUAUGGAGUAUAUCGCCGAGUGGGAAUGAUGUAACCACCGUGACCGACUGGCCUUAGAAGUAGUGGGAUAAUUUCCUGACGGUGAUUAGAACACCGUACAACAGCUUCUGAACUUGAGGAUAUCUCGUCUUGGAGUCAGCCAAAACCUCGCUAACGAAGUAGAUCAGUCGCUGGACUUUCUGAACAUGGCCUUCUUCUUCCCGCUCGACAACCAGGACCGUGCUCACAACCUGAGAAGAGGCCGAUACGUAUAGUAAUAGCGGCUCUUGUGGGUGUGGUGAGGCCAAAACUGGUGGAGUAGUGAGAAGUUUCUUGAAAUCUUCAAAGGCUUUCUGUGCUUCGGGUCCCCACUGGAAAUUUUCUGUUUUCUUUAACAGUUUGAAGAAGGGCAUCCCCCUCUCGCCGAGUCGUGAGACAAACCGGCUGAGCGCCGCCAUGCAUCCAGUCAGCUUUUGAACAUCUUUCUGAGAACUCAGCGGUUUCAUGUUGAGGAUGGCGUUGACUUUCUCCGGGUUGGCCUAUAUGCCUCUAUGAGACACCAUAAAUCCAAGCAGCUUCCCUAACGGUACUCCGAAGGUGCAUUUUCCAGGGUUUAGUUUCAUCCUAAAAGCGCGGAUGCUCGCAAAGGUUUCUUCCAGGUCUAUAAUCAAAUCAUCCUUCUGCUUGGUCUUGACGACUACAUCAUCCACAUAGGCCUCAACGUUGCGACCGAUUUGAGUCGAAAAACAUCUCUAAAUCAUGCGUUGAUAAGUUGCUCCUACGUUCUUUAAUCCGAAAGGCAUGGUGAUGUAGCAGUAGGCCCCGAAGGGCGUAAUGAACGAAGUCUUCAAGCAGUCGGAUUCCUUCAAUCGGAUCUGAUGAUACCCCGAGUAGCAAUCCAAGAAACUGAGCUGCUCGCAGCCGGCGGUCGAGUCAACUACUUGGUCAAUGCGAGGCAACUCGAAAGGAUCUUUGGGGCAAGAUUUGUUGAGAUCAGUGUAAUCGACACACAUGCGCCAUUGCCCGGUCUUCUUCCGAACUAGGACUGGGUUAGCCAGCCAGUCGGGAUGAAGGACUUCUUUGAUGAAGCCCGCUGCUAAAAGCUUGGCCAAUUCCUCCUUGAUUGCGUCCUUCCUGUCUUGUGCAAAGCGGCGGAGUCGUUGUUUGAUAGGUUUAGCGUCUUCCUUAACAUGUAAAGAGUACUCAAUCACCUCUCUAGGAAUACCAGGCAUAUCGGAUGGUUUCCACGCAAAGAUAUCUUUAUUAUUUUGAAGAAAGGUGAUGAGCGCGCUUUCCUAUUUACAAUCUAACUCGGCGCCUAUUACAGCAGUUUUAGUAGGAUCAGAAGGAUCUAGGGGGAUUUUCUUAGUCUUGGCUUCGCUUUCUCCACUCUUUGAGAUCUUGGUAGUAGGCACCUCUCCUUCGCUUGCCGUGGUUGCAGCCAGUCGGAUGUCUUCUCGAGCGAUCGCGAUCUCUCGGGUUUGGGCCAUCUCGCAACUUUCCUUGUCACAUGUGACGGCUUGCUUGAUGUCACUUCGUAGGGAUAUAACUCCUCGAGGACCAGGCAUCUUCAUCAUCAUGUAGGUGUAGUGAGGGACGGCCAUAAACUUGGCUAACGCCGGGCGUCCGAGUAUGGCGUGAUACGCUGUCCCGAAAUCAGCGACUUUGAAGUAGACGUUCUCUGUGUGAAAGUUUUCCCGAGUGCCAAAGGUGACCGGGAGAAUGAUCUGGCCGAGUGGUGUUGCAGAUAGCCCUGGGAUGACUCCGUGAAAGAGCGCAUUACUCGGCUUUAACUCGGUGCGAGGGAUCUGCAUGUCGUCCAGGGUCUUGGCGAAGAGGAUAUUGAGUGCGCUGCCACCAUCGAUGAGGGUUCUGCGAAGCUUGACAUUGCGAACCACUGGGUCUAGUACCAGGGGGUACCGCCCCGGGUGGACCACUCGGUCAGGGUGAUCCUAGCGGUCGAACUUGAUUGUUGUCUCUGACCACCGAAGAUAUUGGGGCGUAUCGGGCUGGACAGCGUUGAUCUCCCGUUCGGUCAGCUUUUGCUUUCUUUUGGACUCGUAAGCCAGAGGGCCACCGAAGAUGUGGUUGAGCUCCUUACAGUGAUCUUGAAAACCUGUCGGGGCAUCAUCAUCAUCAUCCUUCUUUUUCGACGUGCUUUGUUCUCCAUUAGAGGUCUUCCGUGUAUUUUUGGCAUAUUGCUCUGCAAACUGCUUGUAGACGAAGCAAUCUUUAGCCGCGUGGUUCGAGUUGGGAUGAUGCGGACAUUGGGAGUUCAUGAUCUUGUCAAAAGUGUUGACGCGCGAACGUUGUCGGGAGGAGUGUGUAGUAGUUGCGACAAGUUCCUCGGGCUUACGCUUGCGGUCCUUGUGAUUGUUACUUCCACCCCCUCCCGUAGUCGGCGUAUCUUUCUUUGGCUUCCAGGUAGGACCCGACUGCUUAGAUGCGAUAAUGGCGUCUUUGGCUUUGGCAUACUCAUUGGCUUUUUCAAACAUUUGUUUGACUGUCUUGGGAGGUUUGCGCCCGAACUUACCGACUAGUUCAUCGUGGCAAAUUCCUUUGGUGAAGGCGGCGAUGAUGACAUCGUCGGUGAUGUCGGAGAUCUUGUUGCGCUGUUUAGAGAAGCGUCGGAUGUAAUCUCGAAGGGAUUCUCUAGACUUCUGAAUGACGUUGUAGAGAUCAAACUGUGUGCCGGGGCGUUCAAAGGUGCCCUGGAAGUUGGCAAUGAAAUGGUCGCGAAGUUCCGCCCAUGAUCCAAUCGUGCCACGGGGUAAUCCGUGGAGCCAGGAUCGGGCAAAAUCCGCUAGGGCCACAGGUAAGUAGUUUGCCAUGGCCUUGCUGUCUCCUCCUGCUGCACGGAUUGCGAGACCGUAGACGGUAAGCCAAGACUCUGGAUUGGUGGUGCCGUCAUACUUCUCGAUUCCAGUCGGCUUGAAGCCGGCUGGCCAAUCCACUCGACGCAGGUCGUUAGUAAAGGAAGCUACUCCAUCCAUGUCGUCGUCGUAGUGAUCUGGUGAAUGGCGGUAACCUCGUGCUGCACGGCGCUGGUUGAUCGUAUCGCGAAGAUCGACGGGAUGCCGGCGAGGUGGGGAGCGAGGCCGUUCAACUCGGCGCACCCUGUGUCGCUCAGGGGGCAAGUGAACAGAUCGCUCGUCGUGGCCCCUGCUCCUGCGAUUGGAUCCUGCGCCGGCGAUGCUGAGGCUUGGCUGGUGAUAAUCAUGAGAUCGGAGAUGGGGAACCCGGCUGCCAGUCGGCGUGCGGAUGCUUUCGGAGUUAACCGGGACCGAAGCGGCGAUCAUGGUCUUGGUCUGGUUCAAGAUGUUGACGACGUGGUCAGCUUGGUUGAGUGCGUCUUCCUUGAGGAGGGUGAUCGCAGCGACAGCGUUCUGUUGGGGGGUGCGGAAAACCGCUGUCCCCUCAACAUCUUGCUGCCCGAUGAGAUCUCGCACUUGUCGCCCUGCGUCCAAGGCUCUUUGUCGUCGGUCCUCGGCCUCCUUUGCAGCCCGCUCGCGUUCUUGUUGCUCUCGCCGCAGCCGUUCUUGCUCUUGUGCUUGGCGCUCCUCUUCCAGUCGGCGUCGCUCGGCCUCCUGCUGUACGCGUCGUGCUUCUGCUUCUCGGGCUUGGCGUUGUUCUUCCAUCUCGUUGUCGGCCAUGAAGACGCCGAAGUAGAGAGGGGUGUAAUUGUCUUCCAAGCUUUCGUCGAAGUCGUCGAGGUCGUGGUUGUCGUAGCGGUAGCCGAAUUCGUCAUACUCCACGAUCUCUGUUAGUCGCGAGUCGAUGCCGGGGGAGCUGAAGUAGCCUUCCAAUUGAUCCGUCGAAACCGUGCCGAGUGGCUGGAGUAUGACGCCGACUUCCCUGGAGCUAGGCAGGAUCGGUGUUGAAGCCGACUUCCGCCUAGGCCUACGGGGAGAAGACGCCCUUGUAGUGAAGACGGUAGCCAAAUCGUCGGGGAGUUUCAUCAGGAUUGGCGGGUAGGCCGCAUCAUCUUGAUCUGGUGGUGUUGGAGUAGAUGGGAUCUCGUCCGAGUGGUUUGAAGCCGACUCAAUCAAGAUAAGCUUGGAGUAGAUCUCGGCCGAGUUCGGAAUACCGAACGGGGCUGAGACCUGGUUCUUUCCUGACUGGUUCGAAUCCGAGUCGAGGAGAGAGAUCUUGCCGAAGUCGUUGGUGAUGAAGUCGAGGCUGCCGAACCAAAACGCCUGCCCGGGAGGGAAGGCGAAGUCGUCAAUGUCGGAGACGGAACCCAUCGCACUGAUCGGCGAAAGAACUUGACGCAACCCCUACCUGGCGCGCCAACUGUCGAAACAAGAUUUCGGCAAUACUAAAAGGGGUGGCUAUCAAGCUAGAAAAGUGGAUGGGUUUGGAGACAAGGAAUUUUAUAUAGGUUCAGGCCUUCUUAUUCAAGAAGUAAUACCCUACUCCUGUCCGGGGAUGAUUCCGCCGAGUGUAUUAUUGAUCGUAUGAUCUGGGAGAAAAUCGUGUCCCAAGAGGCCGGACCCUUCCUUAUAUAGGAGAAGGGGUCCGUAUUACAAAAUACAGUCCAUAUCCUUAACGGAAUAUGAGAUUACAGAUAAAAUACAAUCGUAACCGACUAGGAUCCCGGGUAUUUCCUUGACAUACAAGUUCAGAAACUUAACCCGAGUCCUCAUAAAGAUAUUCUAUCUAUAUUUGGUACCCUGUACCCAACUAGACUAUAACUGCCGUGUAGAUAUGGGGUAUCCAUAAUCUCCACACUCAGGUAUUAACUCACUGUGAAAUGAGAGAUUUAAAGGUCAAAGCAGAACUGCAGACAUGAAACUAACCUGAACUCAUUUCUUGUUCAUAAGAGUAACAUGAACUCAUUUUCUGUCCACAAGAGUUACUAGUAAUAAGCUGCAUGCCAACGUUCUUUGAUACUUCACUGAAGUUUUGUAGACCAUCUCAACGGUGUGGAAUACAGAGAAGAUAAUUGUACCUUUUGUUAUCUGCAGUCUGCAGACUGCAGAUUGUCCAUUUUAUACCUAGUACGAUGCCAAUGCCAAUUCAGUAUUAUCUAAAAGGUAUAAUGCCAAUUAUCUGUACCGCUGAAAUUAAUCUGUAUCCAAUAUCUGGUCCCAGAUAGUCUGCAGGUUCCAGAAAUGAAGUUUGAUGCAGAAAUGGUUGUGCUGGUUUUACAUCAUUUUGGUGCUGAAAUGGAUAAUUCGGUGUGAAAACAUGCUUCUCAAUUCUUAGGCAUUCCUGAUAGAUGGUGUCAGGCCUUUCACUGAAUGAUCUAAAUUUUUAUGCAUAUAAUGUAAAGUCCGCUCGUGUUAUUGGUAAUUGAACUACUAAGCUAGUCUGAUAUAAUCAUGUCAACAUUCUUUGACAUUUCAGUAAUCUUUGGCAGAUGAGCAUAUCGAUCAGCUGCAAAGGAAUACAGAAAAUUGGAUUUUUUGGGGGAAAGAUAAUUGAAUUUUUUAUAUCUACAGAUUGUCCUGGUUCAUCAGUAUUGCUACAGUUCUAACUUUUACUCCUAGACUCCUUGGAACAAUGCCAAUUCACAUCAUAAAAAAAAUGUUUGCCGUUUUAUCUGCACCACUGAAUUUAAUCUGUAUCCAAUAUUCAGUCCCAGAUCAUGUGGAGGUUUGCAGAGUACCAGUCCUCUGGAACUGAAAUUUUCCAAUACUUUUCAAAUAGAACGAAAUUAAGGUGCUUCUCAAAACUAGUUUUGAAUUCAAAUUGCAACCUGCAAGUUGCCAUCGAUCAAGUCUUGCAACGCAAGCAGGCUCCGCUUCCUCCGCAGCUUCCAGAAUUUGUUCGAAACGAAGCAAACUGGAGCACGCAACUAUCCAAAAUAUAUACUACUAGCAGCAGCGUCUUCCUCCUCGUCGUCUUCAACCUCUCUCGUGUCGCGUGCCAUUCGCCAUCGCCACCACCUCCACUACUCGAUCCCCUCCCAUCCCUCUGGAACCUCCACUACUACUCGCCCCACCAAUGGCUGACGGCGAGUCUCCGCCAUGGGCGGAGCUCGUCCCCGACAUCGUCCGCGAGAUCGGCCGCCACCUCCUGUGCGAGAUUGACCGCCACCAUGCGGAUGGCCUCUGCAGGUCCUGGCGCGACGCGCUCCUACAACUCCGGCCCCCGCCUCCGCCGCUCCCGCGGCUCGUCCUCCCGGAAGCCGACGGGCCCGCGUUCUACUGCGUCCCUAGCGGCUGCCGCCCCCACCCCUUCGUCCUCCCGCCCGCCGCGCUCCGCGCGCGGUGCUUCGGCUCGUACGACGGAGCCUGGAUCUUCCAGGCCGUCGACCAGGCGGCGAACCACGUCCUCCUCAACCUCAUCACCCACCAGCAGCUCAACCUCCCCAACCUGCUCCGUUUCCACUCCUUCAUGCUUCCGGCAUUGACAUUUGACUUCGAGGUCGCCUUCGUCGCGGCCACCCUCUCUAGCCGGCCGACUGAUCAGGGAUGCGUCGGCGCCGGCAUCAUCAGCUUCAACCGCGUGCCCCACGACCCAAGGCACAUCGCGUUCUGGUGCAUGGGCGAUGAGGCGUUCUCGUGGUCCAUCCAGAUGACGAGGAAUAUUGGCGGGGCACUGGAACUGGAUGUGGUGGACCUCCUGUACAGCAGCCAUGGCGCUGGCGCCUUCCUCUUCCUCACCCGACGGGAAGACAUCCAUGUGUUUCGUCAACCGAUAUUCCCUCAGGGAGACGUGAUGCAGUCGACACCGCUCUACUUCGAGCGGCGCGGUGACGACGACGACGACGACGGGCGGCCGGUCCUUGAUCGCUACCUCGUGGAGUCCCGAGGGAAGCUGCUCAUGGUCGUCAGGUUAGGAGAUCGUGAGCCUGCCCGCUUGCCGACCACGACGUUCCGGGUGUUCGAGAGAGAAGACGAGCUGUUCAACAACUACUGGACCAAGCUGCCCGACCUUGGCGGCCGCAUGCUGUUCGUCGGAAGAGGCUGCUCCAGAUCAUACGAAGCGGCGGAUGGGUACCCCGGCAUGGAGGGCGUCUACUUCCUGGAUGACCGGAGCUUCCACGACCCGAUGGUUGUGCACAUGAAUGCCGCCGAUCGGCAGUAUCCCUGCAGCGACAACGGGAGAUGGUCGGGAGCACAGCCACCAGCGGAGGUAGAGCUCUGCUUCCCGGAGCAAGGUCGGUCGAACUACUCCCCUCCGGUUUGGAUUCUCCCAUGAGACGCACGACACAUGUUUUCGGUUGUUGAAAUUGUUGCCGGUGAUCAGGCUAGUCUGUGAUCGUUGCUAAGCUUUCUGUUAGUGUGUUUGUACGUUGAUGAGUUGGAUGGUUUUCUCGUGUUGAAGUUGUUACUGGUGUAAGCUGAAGCAGUAUUGCUCAAUUCACUUGGUUUCUGUCUGCAUGUUUUUUCACAAAUUUGCAUUUCAAUUCAAGCUUCUUUUACUGAAGUCGCAAUCUGCAGAAAUGUCUUGGGAAUUGGAAAAUGCAGAUUGUUCUUUUUCUUUAUGAUUGAUAGUUAUUAACAUGAUACAGCGCUAAUGAUCUGCACUUCUGAAUUUAGUAGCACUAGCUGGCAGAAAGAUUAAUAUGUAGUAGGAUUGACCUUAUUCGAAUUCAUUGUUUCUGAUUUGGAUGAUACUGUACUGCAGAGAUAGUUACUUGUUAGUCCAGUAUUGUUAGCUGAACAAAACACAAUUUCGAACAAAAUUCACUUGCAUACAGCCAGCAAUGAUGGAUGCGUAGUUUAUUUGCACCUUUUGCUACCUUAAGUGCCUUUUCCCCUUGUGAUUUUGGAUUGCAGCUGAUAAUUUCAGUGUGGAUAUGUGCAUGUUUGUGCUCAGAUUUUCUGUGAUCAGAACACAUCCUUUUUUUUGUUGUUGUUGUUGUUCUUUUCUUAUAUAAGUGGUGGAGAAUUUGCAUGCAGUCAAAUUUAGUUGUAAACUCUAGCUGCUACUUACUCUUGUAGUGAACUGAGAAUGUGAAAACAUUGAGUUCUUAGCUCAAGUGCAGAAUCCACAUGGUCUGAAAUCUGAAUGUUGUAUGCCCGGUGCUUCAUGUGGUCUCUGUUAUACAAACCGGUAUGCAUCCACAAUAGUAGCACACUAUUCUUCCAACUUUUCCAUGCAUUUUCCACUUUGGUUCUUCUGAUAGAGUAAAUAGCAGCUUGGUUCAUUUCUGUGAAGUUAUAGUUUGCUGCGUAUGGCUGGCCUUUUGAAUUGGCCGUUAUAACUGAACAUUGUUAGCAUGUUUUGUUCCUUCUUUCUGGUUUUGUAGCCCAAAAAUGUCUUUCUGCUGACGAUAUACUGAAUGUUGUCUUUGGACUACUUGCUUUGAUCGGACGGGAAGAUGCAGAUACUGUAGCACAUCCGGCAGACCGAGCCGGCUGUUUCUUUUUAUCGGCUUAAGAUUUUCAUGCUUUUGAUAUCUCUCUCUCUCUCUCUCUAAAUAUAUCAUCUGUUACUUUGUUUUUUGACGCAAGAAGGUAGAGCAUGCUCUACCUUAUAGUCAUUUCAUUGAUAGAAAUGAAGAUUACAGAGAUUAUUAUACAAGAAUAGAGGUUAUAAAGGUAGCAUAAGGAAGAGAGAAGACAUAGAUAGAGGGGAGGGGUAGGGUGGUGGGAUGGAUUUACAGAGUUAUAUACACUAGGCUGUUCCCUAGGAAAGCCUUGAACACCAAGAUCUAAUUUUUUGCCUGGUUCUCUCAUUGGCCCUAUGACUGCAUAGUUUCAGGAUACCGGCGAUCUGCUGCGUUAUAUAUUGCAGGUGAUCUAUUUGUCCUUCAAAGAGCCUAUUGUUGUGCGAUUUCCACAGCGUGUAUGCACAGGCAGCAAACCAUAUUGGUUCUGUUGGAAUUAAUAGAUGGGCCUUAGCCCACUCGAAGAUUAAUUCUUUGGAAAAUCACAAAAGCCUACCUCAUGGGAUGAUAUGCAUGGGGAGUUUAGUACCAUCUUGCUUAUUCUAGGAAAGGGGGACCUCCUUAAAAGGGCAACUUGAAGUAUGUGAGGUGGAGAGAAGAGGGGGAACACACGUGCGAGCUCGCUGGCCUGGCUUGGCGUGGCGGCGCACAUAUGCGUCGAAUGGUCCGCCAAAAUUGGUUCCUCACCCUUGCGCAGAUGCGGCCUCCUUUUGCAGUAUUGUUUUGCUGCGGAAAAUUCGGAUUUGUUUGUUUUGGAAACAUUCCGAAAAAUCCAGUGCGUGAAAACGGCGUGGAGUCCGGAUAGGUUACGCGCGACUUAUCCGGUUACGCGGAGUAGAGAUCAUGCGGAUGCCAUAAUCAAGCGACCUUUCUCUAUAUAAACCGAGCCGCCGCCUCCACGCAACAUACGCAAAAUCAAUCUAUGCUUUGCCUCCUACUCUGUGAUGCGCCGUUGCUCCACAAAAUCAAUCUAUGCUUUGCCUCCUACUCUGUGAUGCGCCGUUGCUCGUAGACUACUCCAUCCCGCUCGCCUGCGUGCUCCGGCGAUCGGGAGAGCAGGUCUCCGGAACCUCUACCUUCGACGUCCUGCACCGGGAGAAGGCAACAAUAAGGUUUUUGGGAAGCGCUUCGCAUGACUACUCCCUAUUCAUCCAUGACGGCUCGUCUUCCUCUUCACUCGCGUGCUACGCGUCGUCGUCAACACCAACAACCACGAGUAAUUCCUGCUGAACAACCAGUCUUCCGGUACCCUCGGUACGUGCUCAAUAUGUUGCGCAUAUUUGAUCUGUUCAUGUUAUACUGUCUAGUUUACAUAUGUAGAUCUUAUAAUGCGUUCAUGCUAGUUUACAUCUGUAAUGUCAUGAUUUCUGGAAUAAAUUAAAUCAUUAUGUGCUUAUACUUUCAACAGGUUCUAUUCCACUUGUUGAGUGAUUCUUGUCCAUGACAGCUUGUAUGAAAGUCGGGGCUGACUCGGACUUGGCUAGCUGUAGUAAAUCCAAUUUCUUUCAUAGGUUGUUUGCAUUCUUACACCAAGAGAAUAUGAUCUGUGGGUUCAAGGGCAGGACAGAUGUUGCAGUGGGGGGUGUCAUCCCAGUUCUUUUUGACCAUAUUGGCUUUAGUGUUCAGUCUAUCUUUGAAUGCCAGCCAUAGGAAGAUUUUGCAAUUAUGUGGGAUUGUGUUGAGCCAGAUGUAGUCAGCCGGUUUCCAAAGGGAUCCAUGGUAAGUCAGUAAUGAUAUGCAUUUGCAGUUGAGAUCUUAGGAGCAGGGUAUAGGAUUUCUCGUGUCCGUUACCUCCAGGGGAUGGGUGUGAUGUCUUGUAGGAUGUGCCACAGUGUUUCCAGCUCUGAUUCUGCUUGGUAGGAGAGGUUGGGGUGGAGCUGUAUUUUCCAGGAAUUUUGUUGAAAUUGUGAUUGAACCAUGCAUUCUGUGUUCACAGCGUAUGAGAACAAAAUUGGGUAGGCAGAUUCCAGGCGUUGUGCCAGCCAUUUGUCCUUCCAAAAUAGAGUUGUUGUGCCAUCUCCUAUUUUUACCUGUGUUGUUGAGCUUAGAAUUUGAAAGUGUGACAUAAUAAGUUUCCAGGUUGGCGUAUCACUGGUUCUGGGCUGCAGCUGUAUAGUACUAUUUUGUAGAUAUCUUUUCCUGAACCAGUUGGCCAUUGGGUCAUCUGAGCCUGUGAGCACUUUGUUACCUGAUUUCAAAACCAAUGCUGUGUUAUGUGCCCUCAGGUCCUUAAUCCCUAAUACCUGUUGUUGUUUUUGUAGCAGUACUGUCUUCCAAGCAACUAGGCAUUGACCUCCUUUUACUGAUUUCUCACCUUUCCAAAAGAAGGCACACCUUAGCUUAUCUAUUUCCUCGAUGGAUUUAUCUUGCCAUAAGCAACAUGCCAUGUAGUAUGUUAAUGGAUGAUAUCACAGAAUUUAUCAUAGUUAGUCUUCUUCCUGUGGACAGAGGCAUCCAGCGAGCUAGAUAUCUGUCGACCUUUGAGAUGACUGGUACUAACAUGUUAUGUGUAACUUUUGUGGUUGACAGGGGCAACCCAAGAUAAAUGCACGACAGGGAGCUUGCUGGACACUGCAGAAUCUGUGUUACUAGUUCCUUGGUUGAAUCAUUCAGGUGUAUUGGAACAAGAGUGCUCUUAUGGUAGUUGAUCUGUAGGCCUGAAAAGCUUGCAAACGAAUCCAGAAUUUCUUUGAGUGUUGUUGCUUGAUCCGCAUCUCCUUUUAUGAGAAUCAAGGUAUCGUCUGCAUAUUGCAGUGUUGGUGGUGCAACUUCAAUAUCUAGGGGGUGAAUUAAGACACCUGUGCUGUAUGCCCGUUGGAUCAUUUUUUGUAGAACGUCUGCAACUAAUAUGAAUAGGUAUGGCGAUAAAGGGUCCGCUUGACGGACUCCCCUUCUCUAUAGAAUUUGUUCUCCCUUUUCUCCGUUGAUGAUAACCUGAGCUUUGCCUACGCAGAGCAGAGAUUUCACCCAACAAAUCCAUUUAUCCAGGAAUCCUCUUACCCCAAGAACAUUAAACAAAGCAUCCCAGCUGACCGUAUCAAAUGCCUUGUGGAAGUCAAGCUUGAGUACUAUCAUUGGUUUCUUCUUCUUUAGCGCUGAUUGUGCCAUUUCUGAGGCGAGAAUGAAGUUUUCAGAGAUAGAUCUGUUUUUGAUGAAGCAUGAUUGCAUGGGGUCAACUAACUUGAUUAUUUCCAUCUGUAGCCUUUUGGCUAAGGUCUUGCUGAGAAGUUGGUACACUGUGUAGCAGGGAUAUAGGUCCGAAAUCCUUGAUUUGAACUGAUGUUGUUGUUUUUCGUAAAAGGGUAAUAUAAGACUGAUUAACUCUAGAUAGGUCGAUGUUGUUGUCAACAGGUAUUGAAAGAUUACUUGUAGAUCAGGCAAUAACUUAUUGAGGAAACCCUUGUAGAAUUCGUUUGUGAAUCCAUCGGGCCCAGGGCUCUUGUUCCUUGAUGCACUGUGGAUGAUCCUGACAAUUUCUUCCCUUGUGAAAGGUUGACACAGGCUCUGAACGUUUUCUUGUUGAGGGUAGAGCAGAGACAGGGGAAAUUUCCAUCAGACGUUGAGGAUUCACUGAAUAGCUGCUGAAAGAACAAAGUUGCAAUGUCCAGUUUUUUGUAUAGCUGCUGAAAGAACAAAGUUGCAAUGUCCAGUUUUUUGUUGUUGUCAUAAUGUUCUACCCCAUUGUCCAUCAAUAAUUUCAUGCUUUUUUUUUUUUGCAUGUUGACUGAUGCCACUGUGCGAUAAAAUCUUGUAUUUUCGACUCCUAGAGUGCAGAAUCUUAUUUGGGCUCUUCUUUUCCAUUUUCAAGUGAUGAAGCCAUUUAGGUGUUUGAUUUUUUUUUUUUGCAACCUCUGAUGAAGGUAGAAAUCUAAAUCGGUGAGUUGGCGCUAUUCUUCAACUUUGUCGAGGUAGUCCAUUGUGUCUUUGUUAGCUGACAGAAAUGUUGGGAGGCCGCGCCUGCUCUUGUUCCAGGCUUUUGCAUUAGUUCGCAGACGUCUGAGUUUGUGAUUGAAUUUGGUGAUUGUUGUCAUGGGUCUUGUUCCUUUAUUCCAUCUAGUUUCAGCCAAGGUAAUGAACUCUGGUAUUUGCAACCAGAAGUUUUCUAGACGGAAGAGCUGUUUGAAAAUUCAGCUAGUACAAGUAUAUGGUCUAAAGUUGUAGCCACAAGUGCUCAGGGGCGGAGCUUGAGUCUAGGGGGGUGCCCAGAAACCCGGUCAAGAAAAUUUUUUAGUUAUACCUCAUCUAUUUUCACCAUGUAUGCAUCCCCUCAAUACAAAUUUAGACGCCUGCAUCAGCUUAAACUCGAUCUAAAGUAGAGUAAAUUAAGCAAAUGGCACCACCCUCUAUUUCGUUCUAGCUCUGCCCCUGCAAGUGCUCGAGCUGAACAGUUGGCAAAAGCUUGAUUCCAGCUAGUAUCUAUCAAAACUCUAUCUAAUUUUACCAAUGUCCUGCUCGCCACCGUCCUCGGAUUUUGCCGGUUGGUGGCUUGCUGCCCGGCAGUCUGUUGGCGAAGAUCGACUACAAGAUGUUCGACGCCGGGGUCAUCCUCGUUACGUGGUUGAUUUGGAAAGAGCGCAACGCACGAGUUUUCGAGGGAACAGCCUCGUCGGUCACACAACUGUGUACGAUCAUGUGUGAUAAAUGGGAAACGUGGAAAUCAGCAGGGCUAGUUAGCUCAUUGAGUGUUGCCGCAGCGCCAACUUUAGGGAGAUUAUAGCCUUUGUAACUUGCUUAAUGUUGUAAAGGUGGUGCUCUGACGCACUGCAUUUGUGCCCCCUCCCGCGGGGGGGGGGUGGUACAGUUUUCCUUUUUCGGUCGACGUUCUUCGCCGUCCCGGCGAAAAACUUUUACCAAUGUGGGAUAUCCUCUAUUGUUUGACCAACUUGGAUUCCUGAAUGUAGAUUAUUUCUGGUUUGUGCUCUAAUAGUGUUGACAGCACUAGUUCUCUCUUAUCUUUGUCACCAAGUCCUCUUAUAUUCCAAGAAAGGAUUUUCAUUGCGAUUGUGCCGGGACUCUAGGGAAACAUGCGGAAAAACAAAAAGAGGCCGGUCUGGUAGCCAAAAGAACCUCCUUGGGCCUUAGCAUUCCUUUCCAGACCAAAAAGAAAAACAAGUUGUCGCCAAAGAAAAAUAAGAGGACAAAAGUAACUAGCGGCGUGCCCAUCACUGUAGAAAGAAAGAAGGCACCAGGGUGUUGUCGGCAACAGAGGUGGCCAGCUUGUCAUCGCGGUCGGAGUCGGAGCUUCACGUCAUUGCCGCGACGGUGGUUGGGCUCUCAGUCUCCAUGUUACUGCCUGGGGAAGACGGGUUCAACGACAUGGAUGAGGAGGAGAGCAGCGGCGGCGUGUGCUAACGAGGAGGAGGAAAGAGAGAGAUGAUGAAGGGUUAGAGGAUGGGAAAGAGGAAGGGGGAGAGGAGGGGAAAGAGAGGGGUGUUGACGUGAGUUCCACAAUGUUUUUUUUACUAUAUAAGUGCCACGUCAACAUUAUAUAGGUGCUACAUCAGUCGAAACUGAGGGGGUGUUUAGAUGGGACUGAAACUCUUUAGUCCCUGUCACAUCGGAUGUUUGGACACCAAUUAGAAGUAUUAAACGUAGACUAAUGACAAAACCCAUUCUAUAACCCUAGACUGAUUCACGAUACGAAUCUAUGUGAGCCUAAUUUAUCAAUGAUUAGCCUAUGUGAUGCUACAGUAAACAUUCUCUAAUAUGGAUUAAUUAGGCUUAAAAAAUUUGUCUCGCGAAUUAGCUCUCAUUUAUAUAAGUAGUCUAUGUUUAAUACACCAAUUAGUGUCCAAACAUCCUAUGCGAUAUGGACUAAAGUUAGUCACUGAAUCCAAACACCACCUAACGUUCAAACCGUCUGGGACCUUUUUUUUUUUUUGCACUAAGUGUCAAGGGACAUGAUGAUAUAUCUGGUAUUACGGUUUAUGGAUAAAUGUCGGACUCGGCAACGGUUUAAGAGUCCAAAAGUGAACUUAGCCCACGCAGUGUGCGCUUUGUGUCAUGGGCCUUUUGUGAGCUGAAAGUGUGCGCAUGUGGGCUAAUUAGCAUUCUCGGGCCCUGAUAGCCAGCCCCCACGUGCGCAGGAAGCGGCUUGUGUUUGCUGGCAGCCUGGCAGCGGGACUUGCCCCAAGAGAAGAGACGUUUUUAAUUUGUUUUUCCACUCAAUAAUUUCUUGAAUGAUCUUUGUAUUAUUAAAAUUAAUUGUGUAGUUAUGAAAUUCCGCAGAAAUCCAAGAGUGUUUGACGGAACAGAGAAUUUAUAAAAAUAUAACAAGCCAAAAAUGUUAUAUAAUUUUUAUUCACUUGAUUUACUUCACUUCUUAAAUGAUGUACAAAUUAUUAUAAAUUCUAUAAAAAAAUUUAUAUAGUUUUAAAAUCUGUGGAAAACAUCAAGGUGUGAAAACAUAAUAUAAUUACAUGCUAUGGUGAGAUGUAAAUAUAUGUACAUAUAUAGUAUUUGUAAUUUUGUAAGCCAGUUGUAUGAUUGCCUCAAUCUAAGUUCCAUCAACAUGGCAAUCUAUAACGUACCAUGAUAUGAAAUUAGGAAUUGUACUGGUUCUCAACAUAGAAAUGAACAUUUCUUCUCAAAAAAAAAAGAAAUGAACAUUUGACUGAGUCAUAGAAGAUUAAAAUUUUCCAAUAUAUGAGAUAAUGCCUAUCUUUGUUUGGAAUCCAAAUAAGAUAUUCUAUGUCGUUGAGCCACCAUGUCAUUAGUGUGUGCCACAUUGCGAAACGGCAUGUAGCCUUGUGGUUACAAAAGUCUCAGUAGUAUCUAAGGUCCUACUAGGUUUGACUUCUUAUGGGAGCGAAUUUUCCAAGAUUUAAUGGCGUUGUGCUUUCAAUGGUAGGCGACGUACUGUCACGCCCAGAAAUUUAGCCCAAAUUUCCAGACUUUUUUGUGUAUUAAAUCCCUGUCCAGGACCAGCCAGGGUACACAAAACGACAAGUAAUAAACAGUUCCAAACGUAAAUAAAGCGUAAAAUACUUACAGAAGAGGCACUUAGUCCUCACACCGAAACAAAAGCAGCAGCAGUGGAAAAAGGCGAUCCUAGCGGGGCUUCAGCUCCACUCCACAGGCAAAACUCAACUGGGGUCUGAGCCUUGGUCUUCCAACUUCGUCUUCAGCUCAGAAGCACUACACUUCUGAAAAGGGGGAAAUAAUAGCAAGGCUGAGUACAACCACCGUACUCAGCAGGCCACACCAACGAUGCAGACGUGCAAGGGGAUUCAAGAAUGGCUUGUGGCUAUUUGCAUAAAGGCGGUUGUAAAACAUUUUGUUUAGCAAACAGUAAAACUGUUGAAUAAUUAAGGUAAAUUAGAUCUUCACUGAUCAACGCUACACCACGUUGAACAGGCCCAACCAACCCACCUGUACUACAGUGCAUUGGGUCGAUUUAUUAAGUGUGAGACUAAUCACGGUGAAUCUGGUCGAUCGCCCAUAACCGCGGGCACGGCUAUUCGAAUAGUUUUACUCUGGCCAGAGGUGCACAACUGUACCCACAAGACACAACCCACAUACAUGUCACCGCGUCAUCAUGUGCCCAUGAUGCACACGUCACCAUGUCGAAUGAUUGUGACGAGAUCCUUCGCAUAACCCUCCCCUAACCAUCCACACCACGCUAAGGUUUCACCCCCACCCCUCAAAAGGCAGUGGGCGGUCCCCUCUUGCUCCGCGGUGAAUCCGGCAGCUGGACAACCGGACACCCCGGACGACCCAACUCCAUCACGCCCACCCUCGCCACCGGUGCCUAGGAAAGGGUCGAGCUAUACUUCAGAUCAAGCAGUUACCCACUCCCGCUUGUGGCAAGCGCUGUAAGUCUUCCAGGGUUUCCCGUGAACCGGUCCUUAAUUGCCAUGGGUGCGACUCACAAAACCAUGCACCCACAGCCCACCAUUUCAGUCGCAUUUUAGUUGGAUAAUUAUGACCAUGAAACAUGGCCAGAUGUCUCGAGCACGCAGCUCAACAAGAUACUAGGAGGUCUAAUACUGCAAUUAUCCCAUUGACUGAGCUAGUGGUAAUUAAGCAUGGCUAAGCAUAUAGUUCUAGCUAGGUCAUCAAAGUAACACAAGCUAGGCGAUUUAUUACCCACGGUUGACAAAGAACAUAUAUCAAGUAAACAUGGCACAAGCGAGCAGAUAGGUAAACCCUGAUCCCAUGUAAUUAGCAAAACAUGCAUAUUUAUUUGCAAAUGGUAAAACAUUUAUAAAUUAGGAACAACAUGCUCAAGGGAAAUGUGUGACUUGCCUUGCUUCUUCACUUGGAUUUUCUGAACUCUUUUCCUCGCGACCGCGAUCUUCCGAAACGACGGAUUCUACACGCUGGCACGUAAAACGAGGAAAAACCCUAAUAAAACCAAGGAAACAGUACAUAAAAAGUAAACAAACAUGUAGAACUCAAUUUUAGAUGAAUUUUGCAAUUUGAAUGGCCCAAUUCGGAGUUCGAAUGAAUUAGAUAUGAAUUUUAGAAGUUUUGAGCCAUUUAAAUGGAUUUCUAUAAUUAUUAAUGAUUUAUUGCGCAAUUAUCAAUUAUUUUCUCAAAGGAAAAGGCAUUCGCUGACGUCAGCAAGGGGCCGGCGCCGACAGGUGGGCCCCACUCGUCAGCGGCACAAGGGGCAAGCACACGGUGGACUCGAUCCACCGCGGCCGAGGCGGCACCGUGGACCCGGACCACGGAAGUGGUCCACGGGACCGACGGCCUGGAUCGGCCCAAAGCCGAUCCAACGGCCACGGGUGGCGCGGCUGGGGCAAGGCACGGCUCUAAGCCGGCUGGCCAAACGACGGCGCGCGGCAGCGCGGCCACCCGCGGCGACGGCCGGCGAUAGCUCACGCGGGCGAAAGCGGCGCACGCGAGAGAGCAGCGGCGUGGCGCGGCAAGGGGGAGGCGGCAACCGGCUGCCCGGCACCACCGGCAAUGGCGCGGGCACGGAGCGCGGAGCGCGGCGGCAGCGACCCGGUCGGACGGCCACCGGCGGCGGCAGCGCGUCGCGAGGACGCCCGGGAGGUGGCCGACGAAGGGGAGAAAAAGAGAGAGGAAGGGGAGUGCUCACCGAGAUGCACGACGGCGAAGGGGCGGCCGACGGCAAGGAACGGUGGCGGCGGGGCUCCUCAGGUAGACGACGCGACGGAGCUCCGGCGACGGGCAUCGCUCGGGAUGGGGCGGACGGGCUCGGCCUCGAUCGGCGACCGAGGAAGGAGGAGCUCCGGCGGAUUUCUGGCAAAGAGGGGCGGCGGCCAAGGUCCUCCUCGUCCUUGCGGAGCUGAGGGAGGCAACGGCGCGGGUCGGCGUCGACCGAAGUGGCGGCGCGACGCGGCUGGAGUCGGCGGCGACGGCGGAGAGAGGUGGUUCGCGUGGCUACGGCGCUACGGAGGUGGAGAGGGGAAAUGGAGCGGUGGCCGAGCUUGCCCGAGCGGCGGCAACGCUGGCGGUGGCGGCGGCGCAGCGCGGAGACGGCGGCGGCGGCUGAGGCACGCGGCUGGAGAACGCCGGCGAGCGGCGGCGAUGGGGACCGGCGUGGGGAGAGCGGGGAAAAGCGCAGGGAGCUCGGGGUGGAGUGGGAAACGAAAGAGGGGAGCACGAGGGUGCUUUAUAUAGGGCUCGGGGAUGGAGAUCGUGCCCGGGAGAGGUGGGAUCGGCCGGCGACGUGGGGAGGCGAAGUGGAGCUCGGGAUGGCAACGGUUUUCACGGGGCAUGGGGGAAACGGCGCGGACGUGGGCGGCGACCGCGCCCACGCACGCACGGGAGAGGGAACCGCGAGAGGAAGGCGGCGACGUGGGGAGCACGGGGCGGCUAUGGCGGCGGUUGGGGCGACGGGAGGUUGGGGAAGAAGAUGACAGGUGGGGCCUCGGGUCCCACCUGUCGGGGAGAGAGAGAGGGGAAAACGGGCGAGGGAGGUAAAGCAGACUUGAGGGAGAGAGAGCCAAGCGGGCCGAGGGAGGUGGCCGGCCCGAGAGGGAGAGAAAGGGGGCGCGCGGGCCGCGGGAAAGAAAGGAGGGAUUGGGCCGAAAGGGGCCCAAAGAAAGGAAGGAGGAUUUUAUUUGUUUUCUUUUUUAUUUAAUUGGUUAAAUGAUCUUUGUGACUUUAAAAUUAUUUCUUGAGCUCCGAAAAUUUGCGGAAAAAAUCCAGAGAGUAUUUUGGGGCACAAAGAAUAUUACAAAAUAUUCUCGGCCAAUGAUUUUUAAAGGAAAUUUUAAUUUCCUCUAUAAUUUCACUUGAUUAAGUUGAUUUAACUUUUAUUUAAUUUCUAGAAAAUGUAUUAUUAAUUGAUUUUUAAUCCCGAACGAAAAUCGGGGCGUUACACGUACCCAUUGACAGCAAGGCGCCUAUGGUGACUUCGUCAAUCUUAACGAUUUGAUGGCCCAGUCUUCGAAGAUGCACAUAGGUGUAGUGUUUGCGUGCGUGUCUUCAUAAGAGUGAGUGCGCGAUGAUUUAUUACAAUGGAGUUGUGUGUGUGGAUAAGUGGCACGUGGGGAUAGGGGAAAUUCUCGCGAAAACUGUCCUACGGAUAUUAUUUACGGGCAUCUAGUUUACAACUGUUUGCGAUUCAAAACUGGCCUUCCAAGCCGGCCCUACGACAACAAACAAUCCACUAAAAAAUAGGACCAGAAAAUACCAAAAAACAGGUCAAUCUCCAUAUACGUACAUUGCGGCAGUAUACGAGCUAACAGACCUAACAAACGGCCUAACCCCUCCCGUUCCACUUCCAUCCACAUCCCCACCAGGCCACCAAACUCUCUCGGGCCGAAACGGUCAACGCGUUUACCGGUGGCAUAACGACCCGCACCGAGCCAGGGCCACCGACUCGCGUCGCGUCUCCUCUCCUCCCGCGCGCGGGGCGCGCCUCCACCCUUCCUGCCGCGUGAUGUAACUGAAAAACCCCUCGAUUCCCCUACAAGAGACCACACGACUCCACCACCAACCACAAGCCGCCUCUCCCACACCCCCGGACCCCGUCGCCGCCGCCGUGGCCUCGCACGCGCACGCACACGCCAUGGAGCGCUACGAGUGUCUCGGCAAGAUCGGGGAGGGCGCCGCCGGCGUGGUGCACGUGGCGCGGGACCGGACGACAGGGGAGACCGUCGCCGUGAAGCGCCUCCACGGAGGGAUCGGCUGCGGCGAGGAGGAGUGGCUCCGGGAGGCGCGGUGCCUGCAGGCGUGCCGCGGCCACCCGCACCUCGUCGAGCUCCGCGCCGCGCACCGGGAGAUGAGGAGGGGCGGCGGCGGCGCGUGCUGCUACGUCGUGAUGGAGUACGUCGACGGGCCGAGCCUGUCGCGCGUGGUGCGGGAGGAGCGGCGCGGGAGGCCGUUCCCGGAGGCCGAGGCGCGGCGGCUGAUGCGGCAGCUCCUCGACGGCGUCGCGGCGAUGCACGCGGCGGGGGUCAUGCACCGGGACCUCAAGCCGGACAACGUCGUCGUCGGCCCCCGCGGCGACCUCAAGAUCUGCGACUUCGGCAUGUCGCGGGUCACCGCGGCCGGCGCGCCGCCGUACACGUCGCCCGUCGUCACGCUGUGGUACCGCGCGCCGGAGCUCAUUCUGGGGUCGCAGGAGUACGACUCCCUCGUCGACACGUGGUCGCUCGGAUGCAUCAUGGCCGAGCUCCUCGCCGGCGCUCCGCUCUUCCCCGGGAGGUCGGAAAUGGACCAGCUGAACAGGGUGUUCGACACGGUCGGAAUGCAGGACAUGAAGUCGUGGCCGGGCUUCGCUCGCCUGCCGCGCGCCGAGUCCGCGCUCUGCAGCCGCGCCAGGCCGCCGAGCAGGCUCCGGGAGAUGUUCCCCAAGCUGUCCGCCGCCGGGUUCGACGUGCUGAGCGGGCUGCUCGCUUGCCGGCCGGACAGGCGGCUCACCGCGGCGGACGCGCUCCGGUGCGCGUGGUUCACGGAGGCUGACACGCCGCCCGACGCCACGCCGGUCACCUGCGGCAGCGCUCGCUUCACUCCCUGCGUCUCCGGUGUUGCUGACGCAAUUGUUGUAUAAACAAGUUAGAAAAAAACAGAGCAAGCUGGUUUCAUGGCCAAUUGGAAGUAAAUUAAUUCUUUAAUUAAUUGUAGAUUUUGUACUUAUUUUGUAUUCUAUUGGUUGAGCAACAGUUUUGUAUAACCACGUUCUUGGGUGAUUAAAGAAUUAUAAGGGCAACGUGCUUUGUAUGGGUUUUGUCAGGUGAUUCAUUGUAAUCUUGCAUGGUGGUUGGUGGAAAGCUCCUGGAAUGGGACAUUUUGCCAAGUUGUGUGUUGUUGGUUAGUCGUUUCAAAGCUGUAUUUUGAAGCAAAAAUAACACAAAAUGUUUUUGAAAACAGUAAUACAAAAUGGCAAGGAUUGGCAAAGAUAUGCCAAUUUGCAGUUGCAGUACUGUUGCACAAAGCUGUGUGCCCUGUAAUCCUCACCCUUUGCUUGGAGGAGGAAUUUCAGUUUUUCAGGGUAGUGCUGUUUAUGAACCAUUGAAAAUAUAUGCUUCCAGGUAAAUAAAAAAUAAGCGAUUUUUGAAAUACUUCCAAACGCAAAAAAUGCAUUUAAAAAGUAUUAAAUUGUUAAAAACACUUGGACCUGUAAAUUUUGUUAUGUUUUGGACCUGCCAAUUCAAUGAAUAUAGAGGAAAGUAGUAUUUAUAAGUCAAAGCAAAGAAAAUAUUUACUGACAACACGACCGCCUAAGUCAACAUCUCUGCUAAGCGUUUGCCUACCGCUAAUGCUCAAGAUCUUGACUCUUCCUUAAUCUUCGCAAUAAGAGCCACCGAGGAUAGCUACUUAUUCUGGAAAAUUCUCUAGUUCCGCUCCAUCCAAACUUCCCAAGAGAUUAGGAGAAUCAGGGAUCUAGUCCCUUUCUUGGGUAAGCCCUGGCGAGUUACUAGAGUUUUCCACCAAUCGUGGACUGUGGUCACUUGUGCUCAGUUUGCCGGUCUCAUGGGCUCACAGGCUAUUCAGGUGGCAGUCGCGUUCCAAAAUCUCCUUGUGUAUCUACACUCCGCCAUGAGGCAAAGAGAUGUUUCCUAUGUGCAACAUCAUUACGGACAGUAACCGCUAUUCUGCCAUCCUCCGAUCCUAGUCACAAAACAGAGUUUUAAAUUUUUUUUGUUCAAAAAAACACAAAACAGAGUUGAGUUUGUGCUAUACUGCAAACUAUAGUUUUUCUCCAGCUUCCUAGCCAUGAACCACAAGAUAGUUGUGUAAGGAACAAAAGAAUAACUUCUAUAUAAGUGCGAUAGUCUGGACAGAUAGGCUGAGAUGACUUUGUUGUCACAGGAGUUAGAUAUCAAGCCACGAGUAUUGGAUUUUUUUAAAAAAAAAAUUGUAUUGAAAGAUAUGCAGAAACAUUAUAACUUUUUUAACGCUACUAGCCUACCAUAUCUAAGGCCUUGGGAAUAUCCAAUUUGAGGAGGACAUGGGGUUCUAUUUUGAUCAUGCUUCCAGACUUCUGACCAACAUGCAAAAGAGCUCAGUAGCUCCUAUUCAGUGAAAGAGGAGGAUUUGCAGAUCAUAUAUAGUAUGCCCUCUUGUGAUUUAAAGGGUUUCCCCUUUACAUAUCUUGGGCUUCUCCUCAUUGUUCAAAAGCCUACUAUAACAGAUUUGCAAGCUCUAGUGGACAAGGUGGCUGACAAUCUCCCAUUUCAGAAAACUUCUACCAUGAAUCGUGUCUGGCGUCUCGACACAGUUAAAGUGGUUUUGCCAGCUAUUCUGAUUUCGUUAUGAUUGCUAUGGAUAUUCCUAUCUAGGUGAUCAAUGCAAUUGAUAAAAGACAAAUGUGCUUUCUCUAGGCAGGUCAGGAGGGGGCUAAUGGUGGAAAUUGCUUGGUUUCCUGAUAAUGGGUAUGCUGGCCCCAUAUGUACGGUGGUUUGGGAAUUAAUAAUUUUGAGUAUAUGAGCUGAGCUCUCUGCAUUCACUGGCUAUGGUUACAAAAAUAAAAUGAUAGCACUGGUGCUUGGCAAAGGCUUCCUCUUCAAGUACCUUGCAGUACUCAUGCUCUCUUUAGUAUAUAUGGGUUAGGGCGUCGUUUAGCAAAAGAACCCCUCGGCUUCCACAUUUUAGAGCGCAGUCCUAAUUCGUGAAUUUUCUCUCCUUCGCAUGCAAUAUCCGACUUUUGUAAGGGCCUAUCUGUGAAUUGACACCUCAGAGGAACUUUUCGCGGGGAUCUCGAUUGAAUAACGCACAAAUCGGAAAGCUUUUUAGCAAAUUUUCACCGCGAGCACAGUAACUUCGCCACAGUAAAAUCUAACGUGGCACAUCCCAGCGCUCGCCCCUUCGGCGUGCCUUAAUAAUAUGCGAUGGCUGUUGAAUCAAUAGUUGGUAAUGGACAGUCCAUAUUGUUUUUGUCGGAUGGAUGGAUGCAAAACAUAACCAUGGCAGAGUUGGCACCUAUUCUGGUAAAGAUGAUCUCAAAAAAUAUUAGCGAGCAAUAUACUGUGACACAAGCUUUAGAAAAUCAUGGGUGGACUGCUGAUAUUAAAGGGCACCCCCUGUCCAACUCAUUGUUGAGUGCCUGAGAGUUCGUUACGUGGUUGCGGUCUUCCAGGAUGGCGUCCCAGACUAGCAUCAUUGGAAGCUCACGAGGUUUGAAUCGUACACAUGCAAACCAUCAUAUGAGUCGAGUGUGUUACAUUUUCAGCAAGAUUGCUAACCACAUUCUAGUCGUGUGUGUGUUUUUUGGCAAGUUUGGUUUCUAAUUCUCCAAAGAUUGGGUCUGACCUCCAUUACUCCAAAUCAAGAUGCAAAGCACUUCUCUAGCUGGUGGUCCAAGGCAGUAAAAGGCAUGGAUAAAGAUUCCAAAAUGGGAUUCAAAUCGCUUAUUACAUAUUCUUGUGGCUAUCUGGAAAAACAUAAACGAUUGCAUUGCAUGUUUAAUGGUGUCAAUUCUAGUGUCUUGGUUGUCAUUAAUGAUGUCAAUCCAAGUGUUUGGUUGUAAUCCAAAUAAUGGCAAAUGAGUGUAGUCUUUGGUGCAUGGCUGGAGCUUCAAAGCUCAGCGAGUUUCUUAGUAUGUCACUGACCGCAUUAGGGUGUGGUCGAUUGAGUUUUCUUCUUGUAAUUGUAAGACUUUUUUCUAUGUACCGUGAGGGGGUGUUACUAAUUUCUUACCCGUGUUCUUUUUGUCUUAACAAAAUGCUACGCCGAUCUCCUGCCUAUUUAAGAAAAAAAUAUCUCAAAAACACAAAUUAAUUCAAUUACACAUUUUGGCAAGUAAAUAUGCACCAUCAUGGGUAAGAUUCUUUUUGAAUUCGAAAACGUGUUUCUGACUACAAAUGGCAGCACAUUACAGGAAAAUAUUUAGAAUGGCGAUUUUAUGGCAUUCACUCAUGGCCAUUAAUGAUUUUAUAACUGGUGCAGUUAUCCUUUUAUCAUAGUUGGCACUGAGUCAUUGACUGCGGGUUUUGGCUUACCGCAAUGGAGAUCACCGGAGAGCCAUCUCUCUGCGCUGCUACUGCUGCUGCAUCAGGCAACGAUGCUGCUGCCAUUGCUGUAGUGCGUUCAGCGAGGUUCAGGAAGGAAAGGGCCAGGGCUAGUGAUGCUACCCGAGCUGCAGAGCGCAAGAAGAGGAGAGCCCUGCAUCAAGCAGCAAGGACGCUUGCUCCGGCACACAAGCAGGCUGCCACACCUAUUCCGGCAACCACAAGACGACCAAGCGCGGUCGUUGCAACUAGCACGCCGACUGCUCCUAGCCAGACUACUGCACCAAGCCUGGCCACCAUACUCGUUCCGGCUACCACAAGCGCACCUAAGCCAGCCACGGCAUCAAGCCCUACAAAGGUACCAGCUUUGUCUGUCAAUCCCAUUCUAUCUAUCAUAGGCGUACCUAGUCCAACCACCACAUCAAGCCUGGCCACUACAACAACCUCGACUGCAGUGUUGUUCCCUAGAAGCACACUCAGCUCUGCCUCUACACCAAGCUUCACCACAACAUCUAGCCCAGUGACCGCACCAAAGUCCAGUACCAAAUACACUGUGGCCACCGAAAUCGUACUCAGCCCAGUCUUUCCACCCAGCUGCCAAACAACUUCACCAUGCACUGGUGGCAUGCCCAUUUCCGCAAAUCGCAAUGUAGCGUUCAAGAAGGAAGGGUCUAGCAUAUGCGCUACCACUCGCGCCGCAGAGCGCAAGAAGAGAAUAGUCUUGCAACGAACUUUUGUGUUACCUAAUCAAGCCACUACACCAAACCCUGCUACCAUGCCUGCCGCUGUCAACCGGGCUGAUGUAAUAAGUCUCCCAAACACACCAAGCCCCGAUGUCAUGCCCACAAUAGCUGCCACGGGCUAGCCAAAUACUGCUAAUUGGCCCACUACUCAGAGCAACGAGGAGUCGAGGAACUUAGGGGAAUUUGCUCUGGAAUUAACAAGAUCAAAUUUUGAAUUUUACAAGGGCAAAUCCUGGUGAUCAUACUUUAAUUGUUAGGUUCUCAUGGAAUAUUUUUUUUAAUGGUUGGAACCAGUAUCGUGUGAAAGUACUUUGUGAUAAGAAUGUAUUGAAAUAAUUUUUUAUGUAUUGGAUGUCAUUGUAGUUUUGACUAAUUUUUAGUCAAAAUGUAAGUGGGUUGGAUUUUAAAAGUAUAUUUAACUAUUAAUUCGAAGGUAGGUAUCAUUCAUCAGUUGUUUGUUUACGAUGGACUAUAUGUUGUCACUUAUGUUUGUGGAUGGUUGUGGGAUUACAGUGGGGCCUCUAUUAUGGUUCAAAAACCUUGAUAUUUAGAUGUUGCUUGUAAUUUACCAGUGCUACGUGAAGAAGUUGUGUACGAAUUCGUAGAAGGGACCACAAAAAAACAGAAGGGGAGUUAUUUUUCAACAAAAAAAAAGUGAAUUUGUCAUUAUUUUUCUUAUUAUCAUUGCAGUGUUUUUAAGAAUUUGUAAUGUAUUUGUAUUUCAUGCCUGAUCUUUUGGGAAAAUAGGCAUAAGCCAUGCCUAAAGUUUAAAACAUUUAUUUUGAAUUUAAAAACUAGUUACUGAUGACUGGUCCCAUUUUUGGAAGAAACCAACAUUGUCUUUGGAACGGUAUUGAGUACGGAGUACCUUGUAUUGAGUACCUUGCACAAGAUCAGUGUUGUGAACCUACUUCUACUGUUCAGUUGCAUGUAGUGAUGAAAUUACCUAAAAUCAUGAGUUCUGGAGAAUAAGUGCAGAAGGCAACCGCUAUUUAAGGCAGAGACCUUUGAAAUGGAAAUACUGUGGAGACUUUGCUGACAAUCCCUAAACAAGUUGUAAUAGGGACUCAAUCAUACCUAGAAGCAAGCGAUGGGUGGGAAGCAAGUCAGUAUCGUUGUAGGCUCAUACCCUAGAAGUACUGAUUAGAGAGUUGGACAAGUUGGUUCGCAUGUUAGAAUACAUUGAUUUACAUGCGUUUGUAAGUAGAUUGUCAAUAUAGGAGGUUAUAUACAAUGUACAUGAGUGACAGUCACAUCUCUCAAGAAAAAUAGAUUAGUUUGCCCACAGGAGGAAAAGAAGAUAGAUAUACAUCAUGAUUUGUAGAGAGAUCUUUCAAAGAUGAACAAUGUUCAUAUAGAUCAUGAAACUAAGCAAAGAAGGACUCCAAAAGAAAAUUAAAAAACAAUCGACUCCCUACUUCGCUUCUUCCGAUUCGAUGACCAAGAUAAUAAAGCUGACGGUGGCGACACGAAGAACAAGGUUGACUGCAAGAAGAUAGACCGAGACAGAAACCCAACAAGGGUCUCUCACAAGUGGAGGUGAAAGUAGACUCGAUAAACAGGAGAAAAAUCACUUUGGCCUUGUAUAUGCACUAAUGAUGACAAAGAAGGGCGUCAAAUUGGCAUCAACAAACUCGCUGGAGUUUUUCUGAAAGGCUAGCGCAUUACCUUGUCGUUGUGGAGGAAGAAUACCUUCCACCAGAUGACAAAUCAGAUACACCUUUGUUCCAAAACGCCUGGAAGGAACCCUAUCUUUAAGAGCCUCUACCUUGGGUUAUAUAUAUGGAUAUCUCCAUUACCACACAAAUAAAUCUCAUUUGUUGUGAAGGUUACCACACAAUGAAUCUCUUAUUUGUUGUGGAGGUUACAACAAAUAAAUCUCUCAUUUGUUGUUGUGGAUGUUACAAUACAAUGAAUCUCUCAUUUGUUGUGGAGGUUAUAACGCAAUGAAUUUCAUUUGUUAAUGUUGACUUUAUUCUCGUCUCUUACAAAACGGAAGAGCAACAGGCAGGCUCGGCUCGGUCGGCUGCCUCGCCUCGCCACGCCCACGGCCGAGGCCGACUUGGCACGCGCACGCGUGUGGCAGUCCAACCAUCACCUCAACCGGUCAACAAGGAAUCUCCAAUAUCACCCUAUUUAAGUUGAGAUUCGUCCACCUAAAUUUUUAAGACAGUAUUAUUGUCUGUAACAUUACUUGUGGGCUCUUGAGAUUUUAAUUGAAUUAAAUUGGGCCUAGCCCAUUUAUUCCAACAGAUAUAUUAAAAUUGGAGAAUAGAGAUUAGUGGAUUAGUGAUUACAUUACCUGAUUGCUGAAUGCUUUGCUGAUUAGAGUAGGCUGUUGGUGUCUAGGCGGCCAGGCCGUCCGCCGUCAGGCGGACACCGACAGGCGCUGCACGGCUCACGUCUGCAGCCAGCAGCCGCCAAGGACAGGACUCAGGCAGGCAGAGCGCAGAGGCAGGCAGGCCGGCCGACGACGGGUCACAGCCAGCGUCACCGCGUCGGCGCCAGUUUCUCAGCGAGAAAGCGACGACACCGCACUACCGCAGCAGUGUAGAUGCGAACGGAGAGAGAGUCAGAGAGGCGAGGCGUCGUUUCGUUUUCUGCGCGAUGCCGCGACGCGAUCGAAGGCCAAACGCCGUAAACAAAAGAUGAAACAAAUAUCAGAUUUUCAGAGCUAAUUGGACUAUCAAAUUACGAGUAGUUAUUAGGCUACAUCUAUAUACAUAUAAUGUGUUGAAGUUUUGGGCCUAGGAGGCCCCUGAAAAUUGGGGUCCUGUGCGGGCGCGCUGGCCGCACAGCCCUAGAGAUGGGCCUGGCGUCUCGCUGUCAACGGGUACGUAUUUGAUCGGACAUCACCGAAGUACCGAAAUUUUCUAUUUAUAUUAAUUUUGAAUAAAUUUGAACAAAUAUUAGCAAAAUUCAUGAAAAAUUUAAAAAUUGAAAAAUUUCAGUCGAAAUAAUAUCGUAUCGAAGGGGUCCGAAAUGGCCAAAAUUUCUAACCCUGGACAAGGAGGUUCAAGGCGUUGACGAUCUUGUGGUCCGCCAGGGUGUCGGGGGCGUUGUGAUGAAGCGGGCGGCCCUGGAGGCUGGAAUAUAAACCGCUGCAAGAUUAGCGGAACACCCAGCCUGCGCUCGAUCUGGGUUGCGACGCUGCUGAUCAUGUCGCUGGCACGCUGCUCUCCAGCUUCAGCGUAAUAAUAUCAAAAUUCCCCAACAAGCCGUUCCUUACAAAGAUCUGCAUCUUCUGGAAUCUCGACGACGGUGACGACAACGACUUGCUGGUUUCUCGAUCGAGCAACUUCAACUUCACCUAGAUUCUUUUGCUUACUUUAUACAUGCAUGUGGCUGUGAAAACUGGAUAGAGCAUCUCCAACAGCAUAGCUAUCCAACUCUCUAAGUUAAAUUUUAGCAAUUUUAGACAAAAACGCACUUCAACAAACUAGCCAACCGGAUGGCUAAGCCAUCCGGCUGGCUAAACUCCCGCUCGCGCUGGCCAACUCUGGCCAGCCAAAAUGGACUCGCCAAUCGUGGGCCCCAUGCAUGGGCCCACGCGUUUUCCCUCUCCCCUCCCGUCCCAUACUCUCUCCCCGCCCAGAUGGCGAUUUCCUCCCAUAAACUCCCCCACUCACCGAUCCAGCACGCCGGCGCCCUCCGCUAGCGCCGCCCCUUCGCCAUCGUCGUCCGCUGCUGAGACCGCUGCCGUCGCUUGCCGAGGCCGCCGCGUCGUCGUUCGCUGCCGACGCCGCCGUCAUCCGCUACCGAGACCAAUGCCGUCCCUUGCUGAGGCCGCCGCGCCGCCGUCCGCUGCCGAGAGCGCUGCCGCAGUCGCUUGCCGAGGCCGCUGCAGACGCGCCGUCGUCCGCUGCCGGAUGGAUGGAUGUAUCGAGCAGAAUAUGGGACGCAUUGAUCGAUCGUGACAUGAGAAAUUUUAAUUUCGCCCGCAAGCCAUGGCUGUGCAUGUGCAAAGCUAUCUCUCGCGUGUAUAUACAGCUCACGUAUGCAGCAAUCAGUUCACUACCAUAGCUAAGCUUAGCUCGGUCAGACUACAGAGCACAGGUUGCAACGAGCAGAGAGCUAGGCGAAAUCAAUCGGAAUUCGGAGAUGGUGCCGCCGUCCGCUGCGGACAUGCCGCCGUCCGCUGCCAAGAGCGCCGCCGCAGUCGCUUGCCAAGGCCGACGCGCCGUUGUCCGCUGCCGAGGCCGCCGCUGUCCACUGCCAACGCGCCGCCGUCCACUGCCGAGAGCACCCCGUCGUCGUCCGCUGCCGACGCGCCGCCGUCCACUUCCGAGGCUGCCGUCGAGUCUACUCCGCUGCCCCCACGCCGUCUUCGCCCCCGCGCUGCUGCUGCUCCCGACCGAGGAUGUGGCGGCGGCAUGGAGAAAGGGGGAGCGGCGGUGGUGUGGAGUGAGUGAGAGAGGAGGGUUGAAGAACUGUAUGGAGGCUAACAUGUGGGACCCACUGUCAUAGACUUAAAAUGGAGAGGGUAGAUAGAGAGGCUGUUGGAGUGGAUAACGAGUUUGACUUGCUAAAUCAGAUGAAGAGUUAGCUAUAUGGGUAUUUAGAGAGUCUAAUUUGGAGAGACUGUUGGAGUUGCUCGGAUCCUCUCCUAUCCUACUCCAACGCGAACCAGUACUGGCCGUGCGCUCCUCUCUGCAUCACGAAUUGUUUGGCCGCGAUAAUCUGUCCACGGGACGUGGUCAUCUCGAAAAUCUCCACGGCAAUACCGUGGCUUCAACCGUUCUCCCUGUUAGGAAACCGCCGGCCUAUGAAGGCCCGGCCCCGGUUACCCACUAAUUGGGCCCAUCACUAAACAUGGAAGGUGGAAGAGGGAAUGGCUAUAAAUAGAGGAGUAGAAAGGUGGAAGAGGGAAUGGCUAUAAAUAGAGGAGUAGAGAGGAGGAUUGUACACUUGAGAAUGCAAUGGAUGAAUGAGAAAGGAUGCCACACCCUCAUAUCUUGUGUCUCCACUUUUGUAGAAUUACGGGACUCUCUUUGACUACUUCGUGUGGCAGGAGGGUUGCGUAAUACGUUACCGGAGAUCAAAGAAAGAAGAAGGGUAAGAACUCGCAAAUCCAUUUUGCAUCUCGUUGAAUCAAUCGUGAAAACGAAUUCCUCUCCCCGUUCUCGUUUUGUGUUGCCGUUCUCGACGAAAUCCUCCACAGCCGACUUGGAGUCGCCGGCGUAUGCCGAUUGGUGGAAACGGUGGAAGGCAAACACGACGUUGCGGUGCCGGUGACGCGCCAUGGUGGCGAACCUGAGCCAUGGCAGCGAACCUGUACAUGCGACACCACGGGCCGCACCCUGCAAGGGGCGUGCCGACGUGCCAUGGAAGCACUGGCCGGAGAGGACGUAAGGAACAAGAAGAAAAGAAGGAAAAAGCAAGAAAAAUUGAUGACCACCGGAGCACGACAGCCGCGGCGUCGCAUGCCUUGCCGUCGAUCCGGCUUCAUCCCACGCCGAGCAUCGUCGCCGGCUCUCGCCAGGUCGCGCACGCUGCCGUUCCCACCUCGCCGGCAGCCACACGAAAGCGAUCUGCUGCCGCCCGACCCUGUCGCGCCCUCAUCGAGCCGCACCACCGUCGCACGGAUUCGCUGGCAUCGCCGCCGAUCUGGCUAGCCGCCGCCGGCCGUGCCCCGCACGGCACCGCCACGCGCGCAGCCGCACGGCCCCGCCGUGCGCGCUGCCGCGAGCCCCGCCGCCGCACGGCAUCGCGCUGCCGACUACGCUGCUGCAAGGCGCCGCCGAAAACCGCGACCGCUCGCCGGCCUUGCCCCGCACGGCGCCGCCACGCGCGCUGCCGCGAAACACUGCCGGCCACUCCCGCACGGUGCCACCGCACACCGCCGCGAGCCACUGCCGACGACGCCCCGCACGGCGCCCUCGCAUGCCGCUCGCCGGCCGCGCCCGCAGGAUGCUGCCGGCCGCACCCCGCCCUGCAAUGCCGCCCGCGCCCCGCAUGGCGUCGCCGCGUCGCCGCACCGCCGCGUUCGGCCGAGCCCGCCGCGCCGUACCACCGAAGGCCGCCGCGCCGCCGCCUCCAGCCGAACCCGCCGCGCCGCGCCAUCCGCCAAGCCGCGCCGCCGCGUCCGGCCGCCGAACCGCUGUCCGCCACGCCGCCGAGCCGGAGCAGCCGCGCCCACUGACGCAUGGCCGCGCGCUGCCCGGACCGUCCUCACACCGCGCCAUACACGGCCGCGUCGCCGCCGCACGGCGCCCCACCGCAGACCGCCGCGCCCGCCGCCAAGCGGCCGCGCCGCUUGGCAGCCCUGCCGCCUUGCGGCCGCGCCGUUUGGCCGCCCGGCUGCCGUGCCGCCAGGCCGUCUCGCCGCCGGCGCCGCCUCGCCGCCGCACCUGGUUGCCUCGCCGCCGGCUCCUCCGCAUAUGGCAACCACGAAGUCAACGGGAGAAAGAACAAGAAAAGGAAAGAGAGAGAAGAAGAAAAGGAAAGAAAAAAA
This 84614-nucleotide long non-coding RNA is filed under the name Oryza sativa (Asian cultivated rice). RNAcentral describes it as "long non-coding RNA (OSAT_LNC000162)". The stretch from base 6969 to 7134 matches the Rfam family "Bacterial small subunit ribosomal RNA", at positions 920 to 1378 of the family's 1533-position model. The record is from RNAcentral. Lineage: Eukaryota; Viridiplantae; Streptophyta; Magnoliopsida; Poales; Poaceae.